UCGAUAAGUCUAAGGUAAUCAAGAUAUCUGAGUCAUGUCGCGACGUUAAAUCAGGUGCUGCAUGGGAGGCAAUCCAUGAUCCCCAAGAGCGACCAAGUGCAGGUAUACUCUAACUCUUAGUUUAGUUUUGCUUUAAUUCUAUGUUGAGAGUGAAGGGUAGUCUGUUGUUGUAACAUAGUUUAUGGUAACUAGGAAAAAUACAAGCACAAAAGGCAGUGACAUAUUCUUGCUCGAUGUUUGAACACCCUUCCAAUGUCUUGUUUGAUAAACUGUAUGGAUUACAUUUACUUGUGACCAUUGUGAAUCUUAUUGUGGCAUUAGUUAUAGCCGCUUGAUGAUCAUUACUGAACAAUUACAUGAACUAGAUAAGUGGUGGCCUGUAAUAUACUUGUGUGCCAGGUGUGUGUGAGCUAUUACUUGUUUUCCUCUGUAUGCUUAAGCCAGAACUUGCCUAGUUGGUCUUGCCAUGGUCAUAGGAUAAGAGUUAGGACAGGAUCAUAGGCCUUCAUUGAUUAACCCACUUUUAGCCUAAAUAUCCUUCUCUGUAUGCAUAACACCCCUUGAUCUCUGUUUAGAGCCUAAAUUGGCCAUUUCUUUUGUAUGACAUCUUUCACCUUCCCAUUUAUACCACAAUAAACCUGUUUAUCCCUGGCCUUCCUUGGACACUGAGCAUCUUGAUCUAGGAAAACUGCCUAAGUUGAGGUUAGUUAUCGUAGGGGUGCAUGGUGUAAGAGGAGUGUAAAGAAGGGUGGAAUAAAAGAGAAAGAAUAAAAGCUGGGUGCUAAAAAAAAGGGGAAAGGGGGCAGCACCCAACUUGAAUAUGGAUGAUCAAGAGAAGAAGAAAAAAAAAGAAAGAGGAUAAUAAGUGAGCCCCAAGAAAGUAGUGUAGUAUUAAGGAGGAAUAGUCACUCUAAAUGACCUUGAAUAUCAUACCAGCCCCAAACCACACUACAAGCCUAAAAGAAGUCCUAUAGUGAUUCUAGCUGGCCUAUCUGAAGAAUUUGGUAACGAAAAUAAGGGCAAGCCUAUGGUACUUGGCAUACACUAAUUGGAACCUCUUUUUGAGAGUGAGAGUCUUUUGAUGAUCCCCAUAUUUGUAUUUUUGGAUUUCUUAUAUGAGAAGAGGGUGAUUUUUUAUUGUGAGGGCACACUGGUAUCGUUGCUAGCUACUUGCUUGUUUAGAUAGUAUGGCAUUGAUAUGUGAAUGGUUGUUAUAGCUAAGAUUGAUGCUGCCAUUUGAUUCCGCAUAGUUGAUAUUAGUUGGUUUGGCAUUGAAGGGAUAACUUUGUGUUGAGCUCAAAUGAAAAAUUUGUUGCUGGAUGUGCUAUGUGUUCUCUUAGUUGGAUUAAUUUGCUUGAGGACAAGCAAUUGUUCUAAGUUGAGGGUGUUGAUGUGUGCGCAAUUGCUAACACAUUUAAGGUCUUUAACCUAGAAUAAUUGUGAGGCCUUAAGCAACUUUUGUCAUUUUUUAUAUGUUUAUGUUAAUUUUAUAGAUUAAGCUAAUGGGAUAGAGAACCAACAAGAAUAGAGGCAAAGAAGUUGAAAUCUGAAUAAAGGUGUGGCUGACGACAUCUGUUAUAAGUCGUCAGCCCCGUGAUAGGCUAUCACGGUUGCCGUCAAAUGUAACCUGGGAGUUGGCAUGGUGUGAAUGCUGUGACGACAUCUGCUGAUAAGACGUUAAAAGUGUGAUAAGCCGUCAGGGAUACCAUCAACCUUAAUCAGAGAAUGGGAAUUGUUGUAAAGUUGUGAUGGCAUAUCAUGAUAAGGCGUCAGAGUUGUGACAAGCCAUCAUAACCACCGUUAACCUUAGACAAAAAUUAUCAAAAUGAAAGAGGAGCUAAUGACAUCCAUGAAACGCCGUCAGACUCCUGAUAGGCCAUCAUUAUAGUCGUCAGCCUGAUACAGCAAAAGCCAAACUUAAAGAGAAUUUGAUGACGUCCAUGACAGUCCAUCAAGAUCAUGAUAGGCCGUCAUGGGCGCCGUCAUCUAAUCCGAAGAAAAUCAGAAACUUUAAUUUUAUUUCCUUAUUUAGGGUUAACUAUUUAAAACCUUGUUUGGGUUUUUAGGGGGAUUUUUAUCCAUCAUACAUUGACAUAUUGACAAUAUACGACUUUUCUCUCUCUCUCUCUCUUUCUCUCUCUCUAAACUAAUAUUUCAGUACUUGCUUUGUGAUUCAAUUACAUGUUCACUUUUGAUUUCCUUUAUUAUUGUAAGUUAAUCUUCUUAAUUAUGAAUUCAAUUUGUGUGCUUAUUUCUUGCAUCAUGAGUGGUUGAACACCCUUAACCUAGAUUAUGGGAUCUAAGGUUAGGUCAUGAUAAGGUGGUAAUUAAUUACUCAAGGUUUAAUAGGUGUUAGGAUUUCUUGGUAAUUCUGAGAAUAGAAUUUAUGUCUGUUGGUUGCAAACAAUAGGCGUACCUACUUCGGUUUGCUUGAGAAAGAAAUCAUAAACACUAGGAAGUGAAUUAUCAACAGGGACUCGAAAAGGCUUCGUUUAAUAAUCAGCGCUGUAACAAGGUUGAUUAACUUGAGGUAAAAUCUGAGCAGUGAGUUGUGAUUCCCUAAGUCUAAGAGGAUUAGGAAAUUAGACGCUCGAAUAGGUCGAGAGACAUUUGAGCAUAUCAUCAAUAAAGAUAGCUUGUAAUCCUAACCACCAUGAGAACCUUGAGUUAAUGGUAGCAUCUGUCAUGUUCCGUAAGCCCUAGUGAACAUAAUCCUGGUUAUCUCAUAAAAUCUUGGUUACAACCAUUAAAUUCAAAAUGAUAAAUAAUUAUCUGCAAAACUUAAACCCCCAUUUCAGGAAACAGUAAACUAUCAAUAAAUUAUAUUGUAAACAACUUGAGUUCACACCUUAUUCCCUAUGGGAUUUGACCCCAACCUAGUUGGGUUUUAUAUUGACAACGAUUGCUUACACCCAUUCAAGAGUGUAAUUUGAUUGUUAUCACUGAUUAAACAAAUUAUCGAUCCUAUGAAGAGAAUACUUAUUCUUUAUGGUCACCUUAUCAAUGCACAGCUGAAGGAAACCAUUCUUCUUACACAUAAACAACACCGGAGCACUCCAAGAAGACACACUAGUAUGGAUAAAACCUUUAUAUAAAAGGUCUUUCAAUUGCUCCUUAAUCUCUUUCAACUCAGCCGGAGCUAUUCUAUAAGGAAGGAUAUAAAUAGAACGAGUGUCCGAAAGAAGAUUAAUCUCGAAAUUAAUUUCCCUAUCGAGAGAAAUACCAGGAAAAUCAACAGGGAAAAUAUCACGACCCGAGGCCUACCGUCAGUCACAACAACGGUGCUUACGAUCACAAGUGAUCAUAAGCUAACCCAUGUGUGUGGAAUAUAAACUACUAAAGUAAUGCCAAUCUGAAUACUGAAAAUGUGAUUCAAUCAUAAAUCUGAAGCGUCUGGUGAAAUACUGAAAGCUAACUAUCAAUUUAAAACAACUGAUAAUACUGAAAGGAGUGAUAAAUUGGAUAAUCAUUUAACUGACUGCCUGAUUAUCUAAAUGCCUCUAACUGACUGAGGAGUUAAUGGGACAGGCCCCCAACUAAAUCCGACUGACCGAAUAUAAUGAAAUACUAAAGUACUAAAUGAGAGAUAAUAUCUCCUCGAUGGAUGAGGACUCACUACUACGACUACUGAGUAAUGCUGGUUGUCUAACUGCGGUCGGGAAACUGAGCCUUCGAACCUAUGAUAUAAGACAUCAUAGUAUAAAGAAGAGUAUACGGUCAGUACGUUAAAUGUAUUGGUAUAUAAGAUAAGGACGGACUUAAAUAUAUGGGUAACUGUGAAUGAAUGCAUAAACAAGUAAUAUCUGUGAUUGCAAGACCAAGUAUAAACAUGUUUCUAAAAUAAUCUGAAAACUGAAGAACUGUAAUCUGUGUAACUGAAUAACUAAGAAUCUAUACAUUCGGUCAAUGCAAACCUAAACUAAAAAUAUACAAAAUACUGCACUGAGAUUGUAGGAGGUAUCAUCUAAUCAACAUGCCCUAAUCUGAGCUAAUCAGGGUCCAAUGUGUAACCCUAGUUAGAAGGGUGUUAGUACUAUGCCACGGGUACUAACACCGGCUGUGUGGAUCCAUUAAACUAGUGUCCCAAAGGACUAAUGAGUCAUUCUCAACUACCAAGUUCUGUAAUGAUAUAUGGAUCAACCUCAACUGGUAGGAAACACCUCGUUAACCCUCAACUGGCACAUCUCUAACCUACGUUGGCUACAUAGUUCUGUAACUCGGGGAUUCUUACUAAGGGUCACACCCUCUACUAUCAGGUAAGACCUCAUCUUUGAGUUCGCUCAGAGCUAAAUCCUACUCCCACCUAAACUGUUACUGGGAUUGAACUGAACUAAGCUUGACUGAACAUGAUUUUGUAACUUCUAGUGGUCAUCAUGAUUACAUAAACUGAAUAAGUAAUAAAAUUCAUGGUUUAACUGAAUCAUUACUGAAAUAAUCUGAACUUAUGUAAAAAAUCUUAGGUAUCAAGUAUUCAUAACCCAUCAACACUGAAUAAUCACUGAACGCAAUAACAAGCUUAAAAAUUGUAGUAAAGGAUCAUGGUUCAAAACCCAUAAGCAUAGACAUUCCAUCAAACAUGUGGGGAUCAUGAAUUUUAACAUGGGAAUGCUUUAAAUAGUGGAAACAACAUAAUGUAUGACUAAAAAUCAUAAUUUAGGGGUCUAAAAUGGAAUUAAUUUUAACAUGGGAAUGCUUUAAAUCGGGGAAACAACAUAAUGUAUGACUAAAAAUCAUAAUUUAGGGGUCUAACAUGGAAUUUACUUGAAAUAAGACAUGGAAAGCUGAAAUUCAAAGAAUGAGGAAAUCAAAUCUUAAAUGGGAUCAUACAUGGGUUGAAUUGAAUUUAAAAUCACCAUGAAAACAUGAAUUAAACCCAUCUUAAGCAAUAUAAAACACCAUAAUAAUAGGAAAAAAAUCCAUUCUUUAACUAAAAAGAGGGUUUUGGGGCUCCAUGGGUAAAAGGGACCCAUGAAUGAAAACCCCACAUACCUUAAGCUUCUUAAAUUGAAAGAAAACACUAAUAUUGAUGCUUUCUUGAAGGUUCUUGAACUUGGGGAACUCAAAUUCUUGCUUUCUUGGGGAGAAAGGAAUUGAAUUCUUGUUCUUGGGGGAAGGAGAGGGUCUUCUUAAUAGGAAAGUUGGAGAAAAAGGGCAAAUAAUACCCUAAUUUAUGCCCCAAGUCAUGAUACGAAUGAUUUGGGUGAGAGGGAAAAGAAUCAAUUGCCCGUCAAUCAUUUAAAAUUCAAAACUGGAUGUAAUAGGCUUACCGCAACGUGGUCCUAUCGCGGUCAUUCAUUUCCCUCAUCGCGAUGCGGUCUGCAUGAGAAUGGGAAUAGAAUCGCGGCAUGGGCUUAUUGCAAUGACCCAUUGGUUUUAUGAUCCAACCAUGUCCCAAACCUCGUUUAAAAAAUCUAAAACUUUUUUUAGACAUACUUCUUACAUCCCUGGACAUGAAUCAACUCAAAAACUAACAUCAUAGGGUUGGGAAGACCAAAAUUAAAAUCCUCAAAGUUAGAGAUCUUAAAAUGACUAAGUCCCUAACAUUUGGUGAAAAUUUCAGGCCUUAAGCCCCUUAUGCAUGCAACUAAAAGCUGAACCAAGAUAAGAUUAGUAUAGGGUAUUAUAAUAUCUCCCCUUGGGAACAUUUGACCUUGAAUGAGACUAGUUAGACUGAGAGCAUGGAACUAAGACAACUGAAAUCACAUACUAAACAUGCUUGACUCCGAACAUGAUUACAUAAUUGGGUCUGAAACAUGAUACAUGAACAAAACUAAUUUCGUGAAUACAUGUAAUAAUAAUAGGAUGUUUAUAUAUAUAUAUAUAUAUAUAUAUAUAUAGAACUGAGAAUGGCAAAGAAUCAAUCUAGGGAAAACUGUUACUUCAAGUUGAGUCUGACUUUGUGGAGAAAAGAUGAGGAUACUUGGAACACGUAUCUGCUUUCGCUUCCCAAGUGGCUCCCUCAACGAAUUGAUUCCGCCAUAGAACUUUAACCAAGGGAACUUCUUUGUUCCGUAGUCUACGAAGCUAAUGAUCUAAAAUCUCAACUGGGACUUCUUCGUAGGAAAGGCUAUCCUUAAUGUCCAUAUGUUCUAAAGGAACAACAACAGCUGAAUCACCAAUACACUUCUUUAACAAAGAAACAUGGAACACCGAAUGUACUAAAGCCAAAUCUGUAGGCAACUCUAUCACAUAAGCUACCUUUUUAUAAGACACCGCAAAAUCCUAAGCUUAACUCAGUCCUUUAAAGCUUUUUAAGGGGUCCCAGACAUAGAAAAUUUUAGCUAAGUAUUCAGACUUAGUAUUAUUUUAGCCUUUGUAGGUUGCCGACUCUAUUUCACAACCCUCGUGAACUUAAAGUAAUGAUUUUUAUGUUGAAUCAUGAUUAGGAAUAUCAGUAGGUAUUCCCGAAUAGGUUUUGGAUUUUUCAAAAUUUAUUUGGAUCAUAUUUAAAAGUAAAAACUAUUGGAUUGAUGUGAUCUUGACGCGCUGCAUCACCCACCACGUCAAUGAAUAUUUUCCUCCAGCUCUCAGUGUAAAUUUUGGUGAACCAAUGCAAACUCGACGUUGUGCAUUGGCCAUCAUAUCGAUGAAAAUAAUGCGGUGCAUCGAUCUAUGUAUCGCUAGGUUAGUUUUCAGUCAUUAAAAUCUGCGUCCUCAGGGGUAAUUGGGUAUUUUUCCCAUGUCUAUCAGCCCCAAAACACGAAAUUAAAUCCUUGCAAGAGCAAAAACUAUUCAAUCUUCACAAAUUGCUCUCAAGAACAAACCCUAGGAGAUUUCAAAUUCAAUUCAAGGCUCAAGAACUUACCAUAAAUCUUUCAGAAUUUAAUUGUUAUGGUAUGUCAAGUGUUCAUUCAAGGGUCCCUUCCACCCUUGGAGUUCAAGAAUCUAUUUUUUUAAAACGUCAAGUGUAUUGAUUAUAUGAAUUUCAUGUUGGAUUUUAUUAUAUUCAUUAUUAUAAUGAUUAAUUGGGUUUCUAAUCCAUGUUUUGUUACAAGUUUCAUGUGGAGUUAUUUGAAAUCUGUAUGGAAUCAUGUAAAUCUAUGCUAAACUCUUAAAAGUGUAAAUGGGGAUUAGAAUUAUAGUGCUUAUAUGUGGUUAGUGUCAUGUGCAUGUAUGAUGUCCUCCAAGUGUUUGAUAAAUUGCUCAUGUAAACAAAGAAAAAGGGAAAACAUUCAUGUCAUGUUAGCUUAUGUGCAAGUUGUAUUAUGCAAGGGUUUGAUGGAAUGUUUCAAUGAAUGAGUUAUGAUUAAGUGCAUAUGGUUAUGCCUUUCAAGUUUAUGCUAUGAUUUAUUUUUCAUGCUAUCGAGUCCUAGGGGUAUCAAAUACCCAAAAACUUAGUUUUUUACCUAGAGUUGUGGUAGUUAUAGAAUAGUCUCAGUAGUGUAAUGAAUAGUAGCCUCAGUAAUCAGUUACAGUUCAGUAUUCAGUUCAGACCUCAGUAAAUCCAGCUAGUCAACAAAACUCUAUAGUAUUCCAUCAGUUAACAGAAUUCAGCAGUACUCCAUCAGUUAACGGAACUCAGUGAACUCAAUUCAGUUCAUUUAGACAGUAUGAUCAGUAACAGUUCAGUCCAUCCUAGUAUAGUUUAGAUAUUAGUCUAGUUUCUAAUCAGUUAGGAGUAGGAUUUAGCACCAAGCAAACCCAGGGAUGGGGAUUCCUGCCAGCAGAGGGUUUGACUGUUAGUAGUAGUCCCUGCAUUACAAAACUAUAUAGCCAGCAUAGGUUGAGAUAUUUUCCUACUAGACUAGGGUUUCCUAUCAGAGAGGGUUAACUCACAGCUUAUCUUUACUCGUGGCAUGAUACUUACACCCUUCCAACUGGGGUUAGAGGUUGGACCCCAAUCUAUCCAUAAAGGAGUAUGUCGGUUAGAUGAUUACCUCUUACAGUCUCAGUUUUAGUUUCAGUCUCAGUAUAGAACUCAGUUCAGUUCUACAGAAUUAUGACUGUUAGAUACAGUCACUCAGUUUAGUAUAAAACUUAGCAUAGUUUCACAGAACUAGGACUGUCAGCUACAGUCAUUCAGCUAUCAGUUAUACAGUAUCAAUAAACUCAGAUAUUAGUAAAUCAGUAAUUCAAAACUCAGUAUCCAGUGUCAUCAUGACCUCAGUUACAAUUUAUGUAUUUUAUGCAUAUAGUCUCAUUAAGUUAUACUCAUGUUAUUCAGUCAGUAUUGUUCAUGCAUAUGAACCCAUGUAUCUCAGCCUACCUCACUUAGCAUACAAGUAUAUUCAAAGUACUAAUGCAUACCUAUCUUUGCGCUAUGAUGUCUUAUAUCAUAGGUUUAGAUGUACGGGCUCUUGAUCAUACUUAGUAGCCUAAUCUAUCAGCAGCAGACUAGUGGUGAGUCCUCAUUAUUCGAGGACAAAUCUAUUAUUGCAGUAUUUUAGUACUUAGUUUAUUUCAGUAGUCAGAGUUAGUUGGGGACUUGUCCGAUCAACUCCUUGUUCAGACAGUAGAGGCUUUUCAGACUAGAGUAUUUAUAGAUAGAUGUUUAGUUUUGAUAUGGAUGUACCGUACUCAGUAUUUACUUAUAUUUUUAAAACUUAUGGCAUAUUUCUGCCUAUCACACAAAUAUAGUAUUACUAUUCAAUUAUUGUAGCAGGUACCAGUCAUGGGUUAGCUUGUAGUCCUUCGAUAUUAUGAGCACUGUGUAGCAUUUGGGGUACAAACUCGGGGCAUUACAAACUUGGUAUCAGAGCCUAAGAUUCAAUAGAGUCCUAGGAAGUCUUAAAGUCUUAUCUAGUAGAGUCUUGUGCAUGGGUGUGUAGUGCGCCACACUUAUGGACAGGAGGCUAUUAGAUGUUUUAGGAAAAGUUUCCCUUCUUUCAGUAAUCAUGCCAUGCGGGUGAGCAUAGGCUCAAGUUAAACUCUCUGUCUAAUAUAAGUUUAUCUUCUGCUUAUAUAAUAUACCUCUAAAGAGGACUAAAUAAAGAGGAACAGGAGACCAGCCAGCACCUCAGCCCAUACAUGCAGAUCCCCUGGUUGAAUAUGUCUCCCAUACUGAAUUUAGAGCAGCUUUCACCACCUUAGCUCAUUCUGUGGCAGCUCAAAAUGAAUACCCAACUGUCAUUCUGGACAACCUAGUGACCAAUAUUGUUGUAGCUUAGAUUCAGACUUCACCCGAAUGAACUCUCCAUCUUUUACCGGGUUAAGUCAGAUGAGGACUAGUAGGAAUUUCUUGAUCAGGUGCAGAAGGUUAAAAAUAUUAAGAGGUGAAAACUAGUGAGAGUGUCGAGUUAGCUGCAUAUCAGUUUUAGUAUAUGUCUCACUCAUGUUUCAAAUAUUAGAAAGAAAAAAGGGUCGUAGAUGCAGGGCCCACAGAAUGGGAGGAAUUUGCUAUUGCUUUUCUAGAUAGAUUCUUCCCAUUAGAGUUGAGGGAAGCGAAGGUUUUGGAAUUUAUAAAUUUGAAGUAGGGAAACAUGAUGGUACAAGACUAUUCUCUUAAGUUUACUCAAUUAGCUAGAUACGCUCCUCUUGUGGUAGCAGAUAGUAGAUCUAAGAUGAGUAAGUUUGUAUCUGAUGUGUCUAAUAAUGUGGUCAAGGAGUGUAGGACCGCAAUGUUGAUUAAGAAGAUAAACAUAUCCAUCCUCAUGGUCCAUGCUCAGCAGAUAAAGGAGGCUAAGAAUAAAGAGAAGGAAAGGGAGAAUAAGAGAGAUAGAAUAGGUAGCUUCAACUUCACCCAGCCUAAGUCAUAGGGUGGAAAUCAUUCUUAGUUCUACCCAAAAUCCUCAGUCCUAGCUCCAUCCUCUUCCAGUUAUCCUGUUCUAAAAUUCAAAGACGACAAUAGAGAUAGGGUGUUGGGCCUUAAACCCCAGGGUAUUGUUAGUAGUGCCCGAACAAAUCCUCUCUACCAGAAGUAUGGUAAAAACCAUCAAGGUAUCUAUAGAGCUAGCAGUGAUGUAUAUUUUGGAUGUGGUAAGCUAGGCCACAAAGUCAGACAAUGUCCUAAUGUGGGUUCGCAGAGUCAGUAUAAUCGUCUCUCAGCUCAGUUCGGCUGCCUGAAUCAGUUGGAUGCCGCUUCCAGCGCCACCAGUGGGCAACGCCCAAAUCAACUCUAUACACUUCAGUCCCAAUAGGAUCAGGAAAGUUCUCCUAAUAUGGUCAUGAGUACAUUACAAGUUUAUUAAUUGCAUGUUUAUGCGUUGCUAGAUCCAGAAGAUUCUUUGUCUUUUGUAACUCCUUAUAUAGUUGUUGACUUUAGAGUCAGUCCUAAAAUUCUAGCAGAGCCUUUCUCAGCCUCUACCCCAGUGGGUAAAUCUAUCAUAGCUCAAUGGUUAUACAAGAACUGUCCGAUUAUGGUAUCUCAGAAAGUCACUUUAGCAGACUUAGUCAAAUUAGAGAUGACUAAUUUUGAUGCCAUUCUCAGCAUGGAUUGGCUUUAUUCCUACUAUGCCUUAGUUGACUACAAAAAUAGAAUUAUCUAGUUUUAGUUCCUAAAUGAGCUCGUCUUAGAGUGGAGGGGUAGUACUUCAGCACUUAGGGGUUAGCUUGUUUCCUACCAUAGGAAAAGAAAAAUGAUAUCUCAUGGAUAAGUCUACCAUCUCGUUCAAGUAUAGGACUUUAGAUCAGAAACCCCUACUCUUGAGUCACUAUCAGUAGCAUGUGAAUUCACAGAUGUGUUUCCCAAAGAUCUUCUUGGAGUUUCUCUCGAAAGGGAAAUCAACUUCGGAAUAGACCUUCUUCCAGAUACUCAGCCCAGAUCUAUUCCGCCAUAUAGAAUGGCUCUAGAAAAACUCAAAGAAUUAAAAAAACUAUUGAAAUAUCUCCUAGAUAAGGGAUUCAUCAAACCCAGUGUGUCCCCGUAGGGUGCACCAGUUCUAUUUGUGCAUAAGAAAGACAAUUCUCUCAGAAUGUGUAUAAACUAUCAUCAGUUAAAUAAAGUCACGGUCAAGAACAAGUAUCCACUUCCCAGAAUCGAUGACUUGUUUGACCAACUUUAGGGUGCCAGUUACUUUUCUAAGAUAAACCUCAGAUCAGGUUAUCAUCAGCUCGGAGUCAGAGAAUGUGACAUUUCAAAAACAGCUUUCAGAACUUGGUAUGGUCACUUUAAAUUCUUAGUCAUGUCAUUUGGUCUUACUAAUACCCUAGCAGCUUUCAUAGACUUGAUGAAUCGUGUGUUCAAGUUGUACUUGAACAUGUUCAUUAUAGUCUUCAUAGAUGACAUCCUUUUCUACUUUUGCAGUGAGCAUAAUCAUGCAAACCAUCUCAGAAUAGUGAUACAGACUCUCAGAAACCAUCAGCUAUUCGCCAAAUUCAGUAAGUGCAAAUUUUGGCUAAGGUUAGUAGCCUUUCUCGGUCAUAUUAUUUUUUGUGAUGGCAUUAGAGUUGAUCCGUAAAAGAUCGAAGCAGUGAAAAACUGGCCCAGACCUAUUUCUCCAUCAGAUAUCCAAAGUUUCUUGGGUUUGGCUGGAUAUUAAUGAUGGUUUUUUAAGGGAUUUUUAUCUAUUGCAUCCCCUAUAUCCAGAUUGACUAAGAAGUAGGUCAAAUUUCAGUGGUCAGAUUCUUAUAAGAAGAGUUUUUAAGAGUUGAAGAUUCGACUCACUACAACCCCAAUUUUGACUCUACUAGAUGGUCCAGAUAGAUUUGUGGUAUAUUAUGAUGCUUCCAGGGUUGGUUGGGGGUGUUUUUUUAUGAAGAGAGGUAAGGUCAUAGCCUACGCCUCUAGACAUCUUAAGCCCCAUGAAAAGAACUAUCCAACUUAUGAUCUUGUGUUAGCACCAGUAGUAUUUUUCUUAAAGAUUUUGAGGAACUACUUGUAUGGUGUGCACGUCGAUGUGUUCAUUGACCAUAAGAGCCUACAGUAUGUGUUCUAUUAGAAAGACCUAAACCUCUAUCAGAGAAGGUAGUUGCAGUUAUUGAAGGACUACGAUAUGAGCAUUAUGUAUCAUCUGAGUAAAGUCAAUAUAGUGGUUGAUGCUUUAAGUAGGAUGUCUAUGGGUAGUUUUGCUCAUGUAGAGGAUGGUAAGAAGAAGUUAGCUUAGGAAUUUCAUCAGCUUGCCCGACCUGGUGUCCUCUUAGUCGAUUUAUCAAAAGGUAAUGUAUGGGUGCAGAGUAGUUUAGAAUCAUCUCUGGUUUCUGAGGUGAAGAAAAAGCAGGAUAGGGAUCCCCACCUAGUUAAGUUGAAAGAAUCAGUCAAAGAUCAAAAGAUAGAGGUUUUCUCCCAAGGGGGAGAUAGUGUAUUGCAUUAUCAGGGUCAGCUAUAUAUGCCAGGUGUAGAUGACCUGAGAUAGCAGAUUCUUGCAGAAGCACAUGGUACAUGUUACUUUAUUCAUCCAGAGGCCACUAAGAUGUAUCAUGAUUUGCGGGAGAUCUACUUGUGGAGUGGGAUAAACAGAGAUAUUACAAAGUUUGUAGCAAAGUGCUCAUUAUGUCAGUAGGUUAAGAUCGAGCAUUAGAAGCCUAAUGGGACUAUGAAGAGUUCAAUAUUCCCACUUGGAAAUGGGAACAUUUGAACAUGGAUUUUGUGAUGGGUUUGCCUCGUACUAGUCGUCAGCACGAUUCAGUUUGGGUCAUUAUAGACAGGAUGACCAAAUCAUCUUAUUUUCUUCCAGUCCAUACCUCUUAUUCAGCGGAGGACUAUGCCAAGAUCUAUGUCAAAAAGUUGGUCAGAUUACAUGGAGUUCCAUUGUCCAUUAUCUCUAAUAGAGAUACGUAGUUCACCUUCCAUUUCUGGAAAACCUUCUAAAAGGGUCUUGGUACCCAAGUCCACCUUAGUACAGCUUUCCACCCUUAGACAAAUGGUCAAGCAGAAAGGACCAUUCAGAAUUUAGAGGAUAUACUGCGAGCAUGCGCGAUAGACGCGAUAGACUUUAAAGGUAGUUGGGAUGACCACUUACCUUUAAUUGAGUUCGUAUAUAAGAACAGCUAUCAUUCCAGCAUUCAAAUGGCUCCAUUUGAGGCGCUCUAUAGGAGGAGAUAUAGAUCUCUUAUUGGUUGGUUUGAAGUGGAAGAGGUCGCAGUGGUAGGGCCUAACUUGGUGUUUGACACCUUAGAGAAGAUUCAGCUGAUCAGGAAAAGGCUUAAGACAACUCAGGGUCGACAAAAAUCACACGCAGAUGUGUGAAGAAAGGAUCUCGAUUUUGAGAUUGGUGAUUAUGUGUAUUUAAAGAUCUAUCCUAUGAAAGGAGUGAAGAGUUUUGGCAAAAAGGGGAAACUCAUUCCCCGAUAUAUCAUUCCUUACUGAAUUCUCAAUGAUUUCAGAAAGGUAGCUUACUAGCUUGAGUUGCCUUCAGAUUUAGCUUCAGUCUAUCCGGUGUUCCAUGUCUCCUUGCUAAAGAAAUGCAUAGGUGACCCAACAGUUGUAGUCCCUGUAGGGAGUAUAGAUGUUCAUAACAGCCUCUCUUAUGAAGAGAUUCUAGUCAAAAUCCUUGAUUAUCAGAUUCGCAGACUGAGGAACAAAGAGGUCCCUCUAGUCAAAGUUCUUUGGCGGAAUCAGUCCAUUAAGGGAGCUACUUGGGAAGCAGAAGUAGAUAUGUAGACCAAGUAUCCUCACCUCUUCUUCGCAAACUCAGACUCAGCCCAAGGUAACAGUUUUCCCUUAAACUUACUAAAUUCAUGCUCAGAUUGCCCUUAUAGACAUGGUAUCAGUUACCAUUGCAUUUUUCAGUUAUGUAUUCAUGCAUCAGAUAUGCAUGUUCAGCAUGAGUAACUCAACUUAUCAGCAAUUCUAGUCAUGCAUUCAUGAAUUUUAUUCAACCAUGUACUCAUGCAUCAGAUAUGCAUGUUCAAUAUAAAUUUUCAUCAUAUUAAUAGUGUCAGUCAUGAAAUUAUGUUACAGUUAUGCACGUCCUGUAUCUAAAUCUAGUCUAUUAGUAUUCUCAACACAGUCAACAUUAUUUGAAAGUGAAUGUUCUCAAGGGAGAGAUAUUGUAAGACCCUGCAAAAUCCUAAGCUUAACUCAGUCCUUUAAAGCUUGUUAAGGGGUCCCAGAGUUAGACAAUUUUAGAUAAGUAUUCAGACAUAGUGUUAUUUUAGUCCGUGUAGGUUAGCGAAUCUAUUUCAUGACCCUCAUGACCUUAAAGUAAUGAUUUUUAGGUUGAAUCAUAAUCAGGAAUGUUAGUGGGUAUUCCCGAACAAGUUUUGAAUUUUUUGGACUUUGUUUGGAUCACAUUUGAAAGCUCAAACCAAUGGAUCGAUGCGAUCUCGACGCAUUGCGUCGCCCAUCGCAUCGAUGAAUAUUUUUCUCCAGCUCCCAAUGCAAAUUCCAGUGAACCAAUGCGGACACGACGUGGUCCAUUGGAAAUCGUGUCGAUGCCAAUGACUGUGUGUCGCGAGGUCUAUUUUUAGUCAUUAAAAAGUCAUGUCCUCAAGGGUAAUUGGGUCUUUUUCCCAUGUCUAUUAGCCCCAAAACACGAAAUUAAAACCUUUUAAGAGCAAAAACUAUUCAUUCUUCACAAGUUUCUCUCAAGAACAAACCCUAGGAGAUUUCAAAUUCAAUUCAAGGCUGAAAAACUUACCAUCAAUCUUUUAGAAUUUAAUUGUUAAGGUAUGUCAAGUGUUCAUUCCAGGGUCCCUUCCACCCUUGGAGUUCAAGCAUCUAUUUUUCAAAAACCUCAAGUGUAUUGAUUACAUAAAUUUCAUGUUGGUUUUGAUUAUAUUCAUAAUUAUAAUGAUUAAUUUGGUUUCUAAUCCAGGAUUUGUUACAAGUUUCAUGUGGAGUUAUUUGAUAUAUGUAUAGAAUCAUGUAAAUCCAUGCUAAACUCUUGAAAGUGUAAAUGGGGAUUUGAAUUAUGGUGUGAAUAUAUGGUUAGUGUCAUGUUCAUGGAUUAUGUCCUCCAAGUGUUUGAUAAAUUGCUCAUGUAAACAAAGAAAAAGGAAAAACAAACAUGUUAUGUUAGCUUAUGUGCAAGUUAUAUCAUGCAAGUAUUUGAUAGAAUGUUUCUAUGAAUAAAUUAUGAUCAAGUGCACAUGGUUAUACCUUUCAAGUUUAUGCUAUGAUUUAUUUUUCAUGCUAUCAAGUGCUGGGGGAAUCCAACACCCAAAAACUUAGUUGUUUACCUAGAGCUGUGGUAGUUACAGAAUAGUCUCAUAGUGUCACAAAUAGUAGCCUUAAUAAUCAGUCACAAUUACAGAUCAGUAUUCAGUCUAGACCUCAGUAAAUCCAGCUAGUCAAUAGAACUCUGUAGUAUUCUAUCAGCUAACAAAAUUUAGUCGUACUCCAUCAGUUAACUGAACUCAGUUCAGUUUAGUUAGACAAUACAAUCAAUAACAAUUCAGUCCAGCCUAGUAUAGUAUAGAAAUCAGUCUAGUGUCUAUUUAGUUAGAGGAGUAGGAUUCAGCACAGAGGCAGUCCUGCCAACAAAGGGUUUGAACCUUAGUAGCAGUCCCUGUAUUACAAAACUACAUAGCUAGCAUAGGUUGAGAUAUCUUUCUUCCAGAAUAGGGUUGAUAUAUCUCAUAUGAGUUUUCCUACCAAUGAAGGUUAACGAAAGAGCUUCCUGUCAGGGAGGGUUAACUCACAGCUUGUCUUUACCCGUGGCAUGAUACUGGUACCCUUCCAACUGAGGUUACAGGUUGGACCCCAAUCUAUCCAGAAAGGGGUAUGUCAGUUAGAUGAUUACCUCCGACAGUCUCAAUUUCAGUCUCAGUGUAGAACUUAGUUCAGUUCUAUAGAAUCAUGACUGUCAGAUAUAGCCACUCAGUUAAGUAUGGAACUUAGCACAGUUCCAUAGAACCAAGACUGACAGCGUCAUUCAGCUAUUAGUUAUACAGUAUCAGUAAACUCAGAUAUCAGUAAAUUAGUAACUAUUCAGAACUCAGUAUCCAGUGUCAUCAUGACCUCAGUUAUAGUUUACAUAUUUAUGCAUGUACUCCCAUUCAGUUAUGCUUAUGUAAUUCAGUCAGUAUUUUUCAUGCAUAUGAACCCAUAUAUCUCAGCCUACCUCACUUAGCAUACCAGUAUUUUCAAAGUACUGACGCAUACCUUUCUUUGUGCUCUGAUGUCUUAUAUCAUAGGUUUAGAUGCACGGGCUCCCAAUCAUACUUAGCAGCCCAAUCCAUCAGCAAAAGACUAGUGGUGAGUCCUUAUUGUUCGAGGACAGAUUUAUUAUUCUAGUAUCUCAGUACUAAAUUUAUUUCAGUGGUCGGAGUUAGUUGGGGACUUGUCCCAUCAACUCCUUAUUAAGAUAGUAGAGGCUUUUCAGACUAGACUAUUUAUAGACAGAUGUUUAGUUUUGGUAUGGAUGUACAGUACUCAGUAUUUACUUACAGUUUUUAACCUUAUGGAAGAUUUCAGCCUAAUUUUUGAACAAUUAUAGUAUUACUAUUCAGUUAUUAUAGCAGGUACAAGUCAUAAGUUAGCAUGUGGUCCUUCAGGAUUAUGAGCAUCGUGUAGCAUUCGAGGUACAGAAUCGGGGCAAUAUACUUUCCAAAAUGGUUCAAGAUUCUAUAAGGGCCAACAUAUCAGGGACUGAGCAUUCCUUUCUUACCGAAUCUCUUCACUCCCUUCAUGGGUGAGAUUUUCAAAGAAACUAAAUCACCUAGCUCAAACUCAAGAUCUCUUCUCCUCACAUGUGUAUAGGAUUUAUAAUGACUUUGGGUUGUCUUCAACCUCUCCCUAAUCAACUGAACUUUCUCCAUCACAUCAAACACUAAAUCUGGUCCUAUCAAAGCAGCCUUACCGAUCUCAAACCAACCAAUAAGAGAUCUAUAUCUCCUCCCAUAUAGAGCCUCAAACAAAGUCAUCUGAAUACUGGAUUGAUAGUUAUUAUUUUAAGCAAACUCAAUCAAAGGUAAGUGGUUAUCCCAACUACCUUUAAAAUCAAUAACACAUGCUCUCAACAUAACUUCUAAAGUCUAAAAGGUCCUCUCUGCCUGACCAUCUAUCUGAGGAUGAAAUAUUAUACUGAGAUGAAAUUAGGUACCAACACCCUUCAGAAAAACCUUCAAAAAGUGAGAAGUAAACUAAGUACCUCUAUCCGAUAUGAUAGAUAAUGGAAUCCCAUCCAACUUAACCAACUCCCUAAUAUAACGCCUAGCAUAAUCCUUAGCUGAGUAGGAAGUAUAACUGGCAAGAAAUGAGAUUAUUUGGUCAUUCUAUCAACAAUGACCCAUAUCGAAUUAUGUUGACGUCGUGUACGAUGCAAAACCGUUACAAAAUCCAUGUUCACCACUUCCCACUUCUAAGUGGGGAUGCUGAACUCCUGUAGUAUACCACUAGGCCUCUAGUGCUCAACUUUAACCUACUGAUAAUUUGAACACUUAGCCAUAAAAUCUGCAAUAUCCUUCUUCAUACCAUUGGACCAAUAGAUUUCCCGCAAGUCAUGAUACAUUUUGGUGGCCCCUGGAUGAAUAAAAUAUCGAGCACCAUGCGCUUUAGAUAAAAUUUGUUUUCUCAAACCAUCAACACAUGGAACACAUAACCUACCCUUGCAAUGCAAUACACCAUCUCCCCCUCGGGAGAAAACCUCUACUUUCUGAUCUCUAACUAAUUCCUUCAACUUAACCAAAUUGGGAUCCCUCUCUUGCUGUUUCUCUACUUCGACAACCAAUGAAGAUUUUGAACCAUUAUGAACCCAUACACUGCCUUUAGCUGAGUCAACCAGCCAAACACCUAAUCUAGCAAGCUGAUGAACCUCUCGGACUAACUUUUUCUUAUCCUCCUCAACAUGAGCAACACUACCCAUAAAUAAUCUACUAAGGGCAUCUGCCACUACAUUGUCCUUGCCCGAAUGAUACAACAUAUUCAUAUCAUAAUCUUUUGACAAAUCUAGCCACAUUCUAUGUCUAAGAUUCAAAUCUUUUUGUGAGAACACAUACUGUAAACUUUUGUGAUUCGUGAAUACAUCAACAUGAGCCCCAUAAAAAUAAUGCCUCUGAAUUUUCAAUGCAAAAACAAUAGAUGCCAACUCAAGAUCAUAGGUAGGAUAGUUCUUUUUAUGGGGUUUAAGCUAUCUAGAGGCAUAGACUAUAACCUUAUCUCUCUGCAUCAAUAAACAACCAAGACAACUAUGGAAGCAUCACAUAAACUAAAAACUCAUCUGAACCAUCUGGCAAAGUUAAUACUAGGGUUGAGGUGAGUCGAGUCUUCAACUCCUGCAAACUCCUCACAUAAGAAUCUGACCACUAAAAUUUGACCAUUUUCUGAGUCAAUCGAGACAUGGGAGAUGCAAUAGAAGAAAACCCUUUAACAAAUCAUCUGCAAUGGCCAUCCAAACCCAAUAAAAUUUUGAUAUCUGAAUGAGAAAUGGGUCUGGACUAGUUUCUCACUGCUUCAGUCAUUUAAGGGUCAACUCGAAUACUGUCACCGAAAAUAAUAUGGCCAAGGAAGGCUACUGAUCUUAGCCAAAAUUUGUACUUACUGAAUUUGGAAAACAACUGAUAAGCUCUAAUGGUCUGUGACAUAAUUUUCAUGUGGUCUGCAUGAUCACUUUCACUAAAGGAAUAGACAAGAAUAUCAUUAAUAAAGACUAUGACAAACAUGACUAAGUAAUGCUUAAACACUCUAUUCAUUAAGUCCGUGAAAGCUGCAGGGAUAUUUGUUAGUCCAAAAGACAUAACUAGAAAUACAAAGUGAUCAUAUCGAGUUUUGAAAGUUGUCUUUGGAAUGUCACAUUCUCUGACUCUAAGUUGAUGAUAGCCAGAUUUGAAGCCUAUCUUAGAGAAAUAAUUGGCACCCUAAAGUUGGUUGAACAAGUCAUCAAUCUUGGGGAAUGGAUACUUAUUCUUGAUUGUGACUUUGUUCAACUAACGGUAAUCGAUGCACAUUUUGAGAUAACUGUCUUUCUUAUGCACGAACAAAAUUGGAGCUCCCCAUGGGGAAAUACUACGCCUGUUGAAUCCCUUAUCUAAGAGAUCCUUCAAAUGUUCUUUCAAUUCCUUAAGCUCAGUUGGAGCCAUCAUGUAGUAUGGAAUAGAGAUAAGUUGGGUAUCGGGAAGGAGUUCUAUUCCAAAGUUAAUUUCUCUUUCGAGAGGAACUCCAGAAAGAUCUUCAAGGAAAACAUUUUGAAAUUCCCCUACUACUAAAACGAACUCGAGAGUUGGAGUCUUAGAACUAGAGUCUUUGACUCUCAUAAAAUAGUACAUGUACCCCUUUGAUAUCAUUUUCUUACCUUAAGAUGAGAAAUAAUCUGACCCCUAAGCAUAGAGGUGCUACCCCUCCAUUCAAUGACUGGUUCAUUGAGAAACUAAAAUUAAACGACUCUACUUUUGCAAUCAACUGAGGCAUAGCAUGAGUGGAACCAAUCCAUGCUGAAAAUGAUAUCAAAAUCAGUCAUUUCUAACUCUGCAAUAUCAAUUGAGGUAACUUUCUGAGAUACUAUAACUGGGCGAUUUCUAUAUACCCAUCUAGCUAUAGUAGAUUUAACCACUGGGUAGACACUAAGAAAGGUUCUACUAAAGGUAGGGGGCUGACACCGAAGUUGACUGCUAUGUAGUGUCUUACAAAAGAGAGUGAAGCUCCGGGGUCUAAUAAAGCAUAAACAUGGAGGUGAAAGACCUGCAACGUACCUGUAACUAUAUUAGGAGAACUUUCCUGAUCCUGCUGGGUUAUGAGGGCAUACAACCUAUUCUGAUGCUGCCCGCAACUGGAAGUGGCACCCUGAUGAAUCAAGCGACCGCCUAGAACUGGAGGACUGUUGGACUGACUCUGCAAACUAGCCUUUGGGUAAUCUCUAACUCUUUGGCCCAGCUUGCCACAUCCAAAACACACAUCACUAUCAGUUCUACACACACCCUAAUGAUGCCUGCCAUAUUUAUCACAAAGUAGAUUAGUACGACCAUUGUUUAUACUACCCUGGGACAUAGAGCCUGGUGCCAUAUCCCAACUAUCUUGCAUGAACUUAGGCACUGGCGCACUAGCUGAAAAUGAAGAUGGGACUGAAAACUUCUGACAAAAAUAAAAAUGGCUACCACCUUCUGACCUUGGUUUAGAAAAGUUAAAACUACUUGUUUGGACCCUCUUAUUCUCCCUAUUUUUCUCCUUAAGAUUCUCUUCCUCAAUAUGCUGAGCAUGAAUCAUAAGUCUAGAUAAGUCCAUCUCCUUAAUCAACAUGGUAGUCCUACACUUCUUAACUAUACUAUCAGGUGUACCAAACACGAACUUACUCAUUCUAGACCUGUUGUUAGCCACCAUAUUAGGAGCAUACCUCGCCAACUUAGUAAACUUAAGUGAGUACUUCUUCACACUCAAAACACCCUACUUCAAGUUAAUGAAUUCCUGAAUCUUAGCCUUCCUCAACUCUAAUGGGAAGAACCUAUCAAGGAAAGUCGUGGUAAACUCUUCCCACUCAACAGGUCCUGCAUUAACAAUACGGUCCUCUUUCCCCUUCUUAAACCAGGAGUGAGCUACAUCCUAUAAUUGAUAUACAGCCAACUCUACACUCUUACUCUAAGUGACGCUCACGAUAUUGGUCACCUUAUGCACCAUAUCCAAAACUCCUAUAGAUCUUCCUCAUACUUGGUUCCCAAAAAUAGAGGGGGAUUUAUUCGGGUGAAGUCCCAAAUCCUAGCUACAGUUAUAUUUGCCACUGGAUUGGCUAGAGCAAUAGCCUGCUAAUUAUUCUGAGUAUCUAUUGAAUAGGCUAAGGUAGUAAAAGUAGAUCUGAACUCGGCGUGAGAGAUAUGUUCAUUCAGGGGAUCUUUCUAAAUAGGCGGAGGUGCGGGCUGGUCUCAAAUUCUUCUUUUGUUAUUUUUUCUAAGAGGCAUGGUCCAUAAAAGAAAUAAAGUAUGAGUUAGAAAGAGGGUUUAAAUAGAACUCAUACUCUUUCGCAUGAUAUGAAUACUGAAAUAAGGGAAACUUUUCCUAAAACAUCUCAUAGCCUCUCGUCCACAAGUGUGGGGCGCUUUACACCCAUGCACAAGACUCUACUCAAUGUGGCUUUUAUACACACUAGGACACUGUAAAACCUUAGACUCUAAUACCAAGUUUUUUCGAGACCCGAGGCCUACCCCCAAUCGCAACAACGGUGCUUAUGGUAACAAAUGAUCACAAGCUGACCCAUGAGCUGGUACCUAUUGUGAGCACUAAAUAAAAUAAUUAUCAUACACGUGUGCAGAAGAUAAACUACUAAAGUAAUGCAAAUUUGAAUACUGAAAAUCCAAUUCAAUCAUAAAUCCAAAGCAUCUGGUGAAAUACUAAAAGCUAAUCGUCAAUUUAAAAUAACUGAUAAUACUGAAAGGACUAAUAAACUGGAUAACCAUCUAACUGACUAUAUGAUUGUCUGAAAUCCUCUAAUUGACUGAGGAGUUGAUGGGACAGGCCCCUAACUAACUCUGACUAACCAAACAUAAUGAAAUACUAAAGUAAUGAAUGAGACAUAAUAUGUCCCAGAUGGAUGAAGUCUCACCACUAUGGUUUUUGUGUAAUCCUGGUUGUGUAACCGUGGUCGGGAAACUGAGCCUCUGAACCUAUGAUAUAAGAUAUCAUAGCACAAAGAAGAGUAUGCGGUCAGUACUUUGAAUGUACUCGUAGAAGAGAUAAGGACUGGCUAAAAUAUAUGGGUAACUAUGCAUCAAUGCAUAAACAAGUAAUAUUUAUGAUUACAAGGCCAAGUAUAAACAUGUUUCUGAAAUAAUCUAGAAACUGAAGAACUGUAAUCUGAAUAACUAAAUAAUUGAGAAUCUAUACACUUGGUCAACGCAAACAUGACCUAAAAAUAUAUUAAAUAUUGCACUGAGACUGUGGGAGGUAUCAUCAAACCGACAUGCCCUAAUUUGAGCUAAUCAGGGUCCAUACUAUAAUCCCAGUUGAAAGGCUAUUAGUACCGUGCCAUGAGUGCUAACACCGGCUGUGUGGAUCCACUAAACUGGUGUCCCAAAGGACUAAUAAGUCACCCUAAACUGGCCUAUUCUCUAAUGAGAUUGGGUUAUGCUCAAUAGGCAGUUAAACACCUUGUCAACCCUCAACUGGCAAGUAGACAUCUCUAACCUACGUUGGCUACAUAGUUCUACAACUUAGGGAUUGUUAAUAAGGGUCACAACCCAUACUGUCAAGUGAACCUUCAUCCCUGAGUUUUAUCGAUGCUAAAUCCUACUACCAACUGAACUGACAGUGGGACAGAACUGAACUAAGCUUAACUGAAUAUGAUUUCAUAACUUCUAGUGGUCAUCAUGAUUACAUCAACUGCAUAAGUAAUAGAAUUCAUGGUUUAACUAAAUCAUUACUGAAAUAAUCUAAAUUCAUGUAAAAACUCUUAAGUAUCGGGUAUUCAUAAUCCACCAUCAUUGAAUGAUCACUAAAUGCAAUAACAAACUUAAAAAUUAUAGUAAAGAAUCAUAGUACAAAACCCAUAAGAAUUGACAUUCCAUAAAACAUGUGGGGAUCAUGAAUUUAAACAUAGGAAUGCUUUAAAUAGGGGAAGUAACAUUACUAUAUGACUAAAAAUCAUAAUUUAGGGGUCUAACAUAGAAUUCACUUGAAAUAGGAUAUGGGAAACUAAAAUUCAAAGCAUGAGAAAAUCAAAUCUUGCAUGGGAUCAUACAUAGGCUGAAUUGAAUUUAAAAUCACCAUGAAACAGUGAAUUAAACCCAUCUUAAGAAAUAUAAAAUACCAUAAUAAUAGAAAAAAUCCAUUCUUUAAUUGAAAAGAGGGCUUUUGGGAUCCAUGGGUGAAAGAGACCCUUGAAUGAACACCCUAUAUACCUUAACAUUCUUAACUUAAAAGGAAAAUACUAAUCUUGAUACUUUAUUAAACUUGGGGAACUUGAAUUCUUGAUUUCUUGGGGAGAAAGAAAUUGAAUUCUUGUUCUUGGGGAAGAAGAGGUUUUUUUAUAGAGAAAAUUUGGAGAAGAAGGGAAAAUAAUGCUCUAAUUGGUGCCCCAAGGCAUGAUAUGAAUGAUUGGGUAGAAGGGGAAAAGACCCAAUUGCCCCUCAAAUAUUUAAAUUUGAAAUUAGAUGCAACAGGCUUACUGCGAUGUGGUCCUAUCGUGGUCAUUCAUUUCCCUCACAGCGAUACGGUCUGCAUGAGAAUGUGAUGCGCGCUUAUCAUAAUGACCCACUAGUUUCACGAUCCAAACAUGUCCCAAACCUCAUUCUAAAAUUCCUUGAGACAUACUUCUUACAUCCCUAAACAUAAAUCAACUCAAAAACCAACAUCUUGGGGUUGGGAAGACCAAAAUAAAAAUCCUCAAAGUUAGAGGUCUUAAAAAUCACUAAUUCUCCAACACUUAGUGAAAAUUUCAAGCCUUAAGCCCCUUAUCCAUGCAACUGAAAGCUAAACCGAGCUAAGAUUAGUACGGGGUAUAACAAUAAACCUCGAGAAACUUAUUAGCCACAUGAACAAAUUUUAGAGAAGGACUUUUCGAGUUAGAAUCUUUUACCCAGACCAAAUUAUACAAACAAUCUUUGCAAAUCAACUUUCGGGCUCUAAGAUAUGAGAUGAACCUUUCCUUAGGCACAAAAGAACCCCUUUCCCAUACAAUUACCGGCUCAUUAGGGAAUUAAACAUGACCUUACAAGUUCGACAAUCUAAAGAAGCAUACCAAGAGUGCAACCAAUUCAACCCUAAUAUAACAACAAAAUCCACCAUAUCUAAUUCAAACAGAUCCACAUAAGUUUCUUUACUACCAAAAGAUACCACACACACCCUAUAGACUCUUCUAGCAAUAACAGAGUCAUUGUAAUACCCCAAACUUUUUUUUGAAGUCUAAUUUAGUCUCCAAAAGAUUAAGGGAUGACUUCCUAAGCAAAUAAUGUUUAAAUAAGAUAGAAUUUCCCUAAUUUCAACUUUUAAUCAUACGGGAAAUUUAAUUAGCUUUCCAACGAUACUAAUUUCAUCAAAAUCUAGUAUUAGAGUGAGAAGCUAUGGACAUUUUAUAGAGAACUGUCAGAACCGCCCAGAAGCGACGCUCAGGCUGAUGGACCGUCAAGCUAGCGAUGGACCAUCGCCCAAGACGAUGUAACAAAGGCAAUGAACUCAUCUUCUGGCUAAGUGUGAUGGUCGGGAUCAAUAAACCAUCAAGCUAGUGAUGGACCGUCACCCAAACUGUCAUAGAAGAGGAAGAACGUUCAGGUUCUAGCCAAGUAUAAUGGGAUGGAUCGACAGACCGUCGAGCUAGCAACGGACCAUCGCCCAAACCACCGGCACUUCUGAUCAGUGAUUUUAAGCCACUUUUUAAAAGGGUAUUUGGAUCUUUAUCCACCCAUUUUAACCCUUAAUUAUACCAGAACAGAGCUCUUAACUUCAUUAUUCAUCCACAACACUAAAUUAGGGUUUCUCUCAAAGAUCAAUCCCCAAGAACAAGAAACCCUAGGUGUUUAAUUUCAAGUCAAGAAUUCAAGCUUUUUUCCACCAAUCUUUAAUAAAUCAUCCAACCAGGUAUGUUUAGUGUUGAUUUAUGGGUUCCUUUAACCCAUGAACAUCAAGAAUUCUAUUUUAAAAUCAUGAAUUAUAAAACCCAUGUUGUGGAUUGAUUAUAAUCAUGUUUAUGUUGUUGUGCGACUUCCAAGUUGGAAGUUUUAGUAUGUUUUUUUUGAAAUUUGUUAAUGUAUGGAUUGAAAUCGAUGAAAUUGAGUUGAAUGAAGAAACUUGAUGUAAUAAGUUGAUGUUUAUGCUUAAGACCUAAGUUAUGCAUACUAGAUGUUUGAUAAAAUGCCUAAAAGAGUAAGAUUUAUGCUUAUUGACUCAAUAAGGCCUAAAUGAUAAAUCCAUGCUUUAUCUUUAUAUUUUAAAAUGACUCCCAUGCUAUUGUGAUGCAUUGAAAUUGUUUGAUCGAACGCCCAUGAGGCUAGAAUUGUGUAACCAUGAUAUAUUUGAAUGCCUUCCUAUUCAUGUACAAGAGUAUGAGAACCAAGUGCUUCAUUAAACUCUUAAGUGAUUGUAUUAUCAAUUAUUGAUUAUAGUCAUGUGUUCAAGAAGUGUCAUGUCUUGUCAGUUUCAAGCUACCGAGUCCUAGGGGUACUUGUACCUGACAAUUUAGCUAUGUGCCUAGAGUCAGUGUCAGUUUUAUGAUAAUAUCAGUCAAGCAGUAGAAUUCAGUCAAUUACAUAACGCAGGAAAACUCUACAAAUUCAAUAUCAGUUCAAUAAACUCAGUCAGUUAACAGAUCUCAGUAAUAUUCCAUCAGUCAACGCAAUUUAGUGAACUCAAUCCAAUUUAGUCUAGUAUAUUCAGUUUAGUGUCUAUUCAGAUGGGAGUAGGAUUCAGUACUGAGUGAUCCCAAGGAUGGAAACUCACCUACAAGUAGAGGGUGUGAUUCUUAGAAGCAAUCUUUGCGCUCCAGAACUACGUAGCCAGUAUAGAUUGAGAUAUCAAACCUGCUAGAUGAGGGUAGAUGAGGUGGCUUAACCUAUUAGAUGAGGUUCCCGCCGUUCUUAUUAGAGUACCUGUUAGAUAAGGGUCACUCAUAGCUUGUCCUUACCAGUGGUACGGUAUUGACACUCUACCAAUUGGGGUUAUAGAUUGAACCCUAACUCAGCUAUAAUAGCUUAUUAGGGGCAUGUCAAUUAAAGGACUACUUCCCAUAGUUGCAGUCUCAGUCUCAAUCUGAGUCUCAGUAAUAGAACUCAGAUAGUUCUAUAGAAUCUAGACUAGUAGAUACAAUCACCCAGUAAAGUAUGGAACUUAGCUAGUUCCAUCAGAAUCUAGACUGUCAGAUAUAGUCACUCAGUAUCAGUUACAUCAGUUAUCAGUAACUUAUGAUAUCAGUAUUCAUACUCAGUAGUCAGUAUUAUCACAAAUUCAGUUACAGUUACUUAUUCAUGCAUGUAUUCUCAUAUUCAUGUUAUACAAUCAGUUAGUAUUGUUUAUACAUAUCAACCCUUUGCAUUCAGCCUACCUCACUAGCAUACCAGUACAUUCAAUCGUACUGACACAUUUUCUCUAUGAUUUUUUAUGCCAUAGGUUCAUAAGUACGAGCUCCAAAGCAUCUGUAGCAAUCCAGUUUCAGUAGUCAGAGUGAGCAAUGAGUCCUUAUCAUUCGAGGAUGUUAUGAUUUGAUUACUUUGCUUCUAGAGUACUUAGUUUAUUUUAGUAGUUAGAGUAAGUUGGGGACAUUCCCCAUCAACUCCUUAUUCAGAUAGUACAGUUUUAGAGGCUUUCAUACUAUAGUAUGUUUAGACAGUUAUUUUAGUUGUUUUGAUAUUGAUAUACCAUAUUUUUAGAUGUUAUGUUUUAUAAUAUAUUUGAAACUUAUGGCCUUUCAGCAUUUUAUUCCAUAUUUAUACAGUAAAUUAUGCAGUGUUCAGAUACAGAUAUCAUUCAUGGAUUAGCUUGUGGUCCUUCGGGGUCACGAGCAUCGUGUAGCUUUUCGAGUACCAGAUUUGGGGCAUUACAAACUUGAUAUCAGAGCCUAAGGUUCAACAGUGUCCUAGGAAGUUUGAAAAGACGCAUCUAGUAGAGUCUUGUGAAUGGGUGUAUUAUGCACCAUACUUAUGGACAGGAGGCUAUGAGAUAUUCUAGGAAUAGUUUCCUUUCUUUCAAUAUUCAUGUCGUGUCAGUGAGCAUAAGCUCAAAUGUAGACUCCCAGUCGAAUCCAUUUUUCCAUUUCAUUUACUAAUUAUGUCUCCCAAAUGGGCUAACAAAAGGAGAACCAAAAAACAGUCAGUACCUUCGCCCAUUCAGGUAGAUUCCCUGGACGAGCAUGCCUUUCAUGUCGAAUUCAAAACUGACUCCCUCACUUUAUCUUACUCAGUAGUAUCUUAGAGCAAUCAGCAGGCUGUUGUCCCAACCCCUUCUUCAGCCUGUGCUCUAGUGCCAAAAUUCAGAGAUGGCAACAAGAAUAGGAUGCCAAGCCCUAAACCUCAGGGAAAUAUUAGCAGUGCCCGAACUCAUCCCCUUUUCAGACUUAUGGUAAGAACAAUCAGGGUAUUUGUAAAGAUGGCAACGACGUCUAUUUUUUAUGUGGCAAGCCAAGCCAUAGAGUCAGAUAUUGCCCCAUCAGGUUUUUAGAGUUAGCGUAACCAUUCCUCAUUUAGUUUGAUCACCUAAAUCAGCAGGGUGCCACCUCCAGUGCUACCAGUGGGCAAUGCCCAAAUAGACUCUUUGCUCUUCAAUCCCGAAAGGAUCAGGAAAAUUCUAUUGAUGUGGUUAUUGGUACAUUACAGAUCUUUAACUUGCAUAUUUACGCUUUGCUAGAUCCAAGAGCUUUCUUGUCUUUUGUUGCUCCUUAUAUAGCAGUUGAUUUUAAAGUCAGUCCCAAAAUUCUAGCAGAUCCCUUUUUAGUUUCUCCCCCAGUGGGUAAAACCAUCGUAGCCCAAUGAGUAUUCAAGAAUUGUCUGGUUAUGGUAACUGAGAAAGUUACUUUAGCAGACUUAGUCGAAUUAGAGAUGAUGGAUUUUGAUGUCAUUCUCGGCAUAGAUUGGCUUCAUUCCUGCUAUGCCACAGUCGAUCACAACCUAGUUUUAGUUUCCAAAUGAACCCGUCCUAGAGUGGAGGGUAGUAUUUCAGCAUUCAGAGGUUAGUUUGUUUCCUACCUACAUGCUAGGAAAAUGAUAUGUAAGGGAUGUGUAUAUCAUCUUAUUCGAGUUAAGGAUUCUAGUUUCAGAACUCCCAGUCUUGAAUCAGUCUAAAUAGUGAAUGAAUAUUCAUAUGUGUUUCCGAAAGAUUUUCUUAAAUUUCCUCCCGAAAGGAAAAUAGACUUCGACAUUGAUCUUCUUUCAGAUACUCAGCCUUUAUCUAUUCCUCCAUACAGAAUGGCACUAACAGAACUUAGAGAACUAAAAGAACAAUUGAAGGAUUUCUUAGAUAAGGGAUUCAUAAGUCCCAGUAUUACCCCGUGGGGUGCACCAGUUCUAUUCGUUCGAAAUAUAGACGACUCUCUUAGAAUGUGUAUAAACUACCGUUAGCUCAAUAAAGUCAUGGUUACAUACAAGUAUCCUCUUCCCAGAAUCAAUGACCUAUUUGGAAAACUUCAGGGUGCCAGUUAUUUCUCUAAGAUAACCUCAGAUCAAGCUAUCAUCAACCCAGAGUUAGAGAAUGUGACAUUCCGAUGACAGCUUUUCAAACUCGGUACGGUCACUUCAAAUUCUUAGUCAUGUCCUUUGGUCUUACCAAUACCCCAGCAGUCUUCAUGGACUUGAUGAACCAUGUGUUCAAGUAAUACUUGGACAUGUUUGUCAUAGUCAUCAUAGAUGACAUCUUUGUCUAUUCCCACAGUAAACAUAAUCAUGCAGAAUGUCUCAGAAUAGUAUUACAGAUCCUCAAAACCUAUCAAGUAUCAUGAUAUUUAUUCAUGUCCUACCUGUUAGCUCCAUGAUCAUCGCAUAUAUUUGUGCAUAUUAGUGAAAAUCAUGUACGAUUUUAGUUUUCAGUAUAAGGGGUCCCAGUUUACUCUGCGGUACAAAUCAUGUUCCAUGAACACAGCUUACAUUUACGCACCUUCUAUAGAAUCAUGUGCGUUUUCAGUUCCUAGUAUAAAGAGUUCCAUUUUACUCAAUAGUACGGAUCAUGUCCCAUGAAUACAGAACCUUCAAACUCAGGUCAUGCAGCUUAUGACUCAUGUACUCCUGUUGUGCUUUAUAGUAUGCUCAGCCCACAUGAAUCAUGUUCCACUCCUAGUGAUCAGCCAAACUCAGGUUAUGUCGUGUAUACCCUCAGUUUAGAUCCCUCGAUGAAUCCGUAGUGUUGAUGCUCCAUACUUUAGGCCUCAGUUACAGUGUCAGUUCAGUAAUCGGUAUUCAGUAAAGGACUCAGAUAUUCCUACAGGACCAUGGAUUUUAGUUAUAAAUUACUUAGCCAUCAGAAUUCAGUACAUCAGUACCAAUCUAAACCUCAAUUAUCAAAAACCAGCAUUCAGUCCUAGUAUGAGUCUCAAUUAUAAAUUUAGUUGUAAUCUCUGUUAUAGUCUUAGAUAUAGUGCCAGCCUUAACCUCCGUUCAGAAAUCAAAUCAGUACCACAGUCUAAUUUUAGGUUUGCUUGACCAUAGUAUGUAAUAAUCAGUUAUACAUGUUAUCAGUGUUUCAGUACCUCAGCUUACAGAAUGUUUCCAAAUCAUGUUAUACGCCUAGUCUUUUAUUCUCAGACAAUACAAGUAUUUCAUGAAUUCAUUCUCAGCUAUCUCGUGUUACUCAGUUAGUCCCUUUCUUAUGUUCAUAAAAACUCCAUAUUCUCAGUCCAGUUAUUCAGACUAAGUAAAGUUCAGUCUUACAUGCCUAGUACUUAGCAGUCAGUCUGUCAAUAGAUCAAAUGAGUCGAUCAGUAUGAAUUAGUUUGAAUAACCAGUACUUUAGUCCGACAGUCAGACGGACAAGUUUAUAUAUUUUCCCACUCUAUCCACCUAGUUGCACUAUUUGAAGUCUCAUGGAUGUAACCAUUCUAAGAUGGACCAAUCAAGUAGUUGUGUGUUUAGUUCAGUUCAUGUUUCAUGACUCAGUCUCAGAUCCUGGAUAUUCAGUCAUAAUUCCAUACGUGGGAGCCCUGUGCAUCAUUCCAGUCUCUUCUCAGUAUCUCGGACAAGUUAGUAUUCUUCAAGGGAUGUAGUGUCCCAAGGGGGAGAUACACUAUAAUCCCCUGAACUUUCAUUACCUAAACAUGUCAUUCCCUCUUCAUGUAAGGAACCUAGCUAGGAUUAGUGGGUACUCAUAGGUAGACCCUCAAGCUCCAAUCUCAGUCAUAAGUUAUGUACGCAAUGGGUCAGUUCAGUUCAUGAUACUCAGUCUAUGUUACACAUUACAAACUCAGUCAUGUUCUUAUGUUCCCAUUCAUGUGUGUUCAAUAAAGGAUCUCGAGUUUGUGAUUAAUGACUUUAUCUAUCUAAGGAUAUCUCCCAUGAAAAGAGUAAAGAGAUUUGAAAAAAAGGGAAAGCUUAGUCCCCAAUAUGUUGAUCCCUUCAAAAUUCUCAGUCAUUUUGGCAAGGUAGCUUAUGAGCUCGAGUUACCUUCAGAUCUAGAUUCAGUGCAUCCAGUCUUUCCAAUCUCCUUACUUAAGAAGUGCAUAGGUGACCCAGCAGUCGUAGUCCCUGUUAAGGGCGUAGAUAUUCAGAAUAGUCUCUCUUACAAGGAAAUUCCAGUCGAAAUCCUUGACUACCAGAUUCGCAGACAAAGGAACAAAAAAGUCCCUUGAGGGAGAUACUUGGGAAGCAGAAGCAGAUAUGCAGACUAAGUAUCUUCACCUUUUCUCAGCUAAUUCAGACUCAGCCCAAGGUAAUAGCUUUCCUUAAGCCUAUUCAGCUUCAUGUUCAGAUUUCAGUUACAAUCUCAGUAUUUUAAAGUACCACUAAAUAUUCAGUCAUGCAUUCAUGUAUCAGCUCAGUCAUGUACUCAUGCAUCAAAUAUACAUGUUUAUCUUGAUAAAUUCAGCUUAUCAGUGAUUCCAUUCAUGUAUUCAUGAGUCAGUAUUCAAGCAUUAGAUAUGUAUGUUCAGUAUACAAUUUUAGUAUAUCAGAAGCUCUAGUUAUAUAAUCAUGUUUCAGAUAUUCACAUCCCUUAAGUAAGUUCAGUCUAUCAGAAAUCCCAGCUUCGUCAGUCCCAUUGAAAGAUGAAUGUUCCCAAGAGGGAGAUAUUGUAAUACCCUAAACUUUUUUUUUGAAGUCUAAUUUAGUCUCCAGAAGAUUUAGGGAUGACUUCCUAAGCGAAUGAUGUUUAAAUUAGGAAGAAUUUCCCCAAUUUUGACUUUUUAUCAUGUGGAAAGUUGAAUUGUCUUUCCAAAGAUACCAAUUUUGUCCAAAUCCAGUAUCGGAGUAAAAGGUUAUAGAUGUUUUAUAGAGAACGGUCGGAAUCGCCCAGAAGCGACGCUCAGGCCGAUGGACCGUCGCCCACACCGUAGCGACUAAGGCAGUGAACCCGUCUUCUAUCCAAGUGCGACGGUCAAGACAAACAGACCAUCAAGCUAGCGAUGAACCAUCGUACAAACUAUCACAGAUGAGGUAGAAAGUUCAGGUUCUGGCCAAGUAUGACGGGUAAACCGGCGGACCGUCACCCAAACCAUCACCACUUCCAAUUAGCGAUUUUAAGACAUUUUUUAAAAGGGUAUUUGGGUGUUUUUCCAGCCGUUUUAGCCCCUAAUUAUACCAGACCAGAGCUCAUAACUUCAUUAUUCAUCCACAACACCAAAUUAGGGUUUCUCUCAAAGAUUAAUCCCUAAUAACAAGAAACCCUAGGUGUUUAAUUCCAAAUCAAGAAUUCAAGCUUUCCUCUACCAAUCUUAGAGAAAUCAACCACCCAGGUAUGUUUAGUGUUGAUUCAUGGGUUCCUUUCACCCAUGAACAUCAAGAAUCCUAUUUUAAAAUCAUGAAUUGUGAAACCCAUGUUGUGGAUUGAUUAUAAUCAUGUUUAUGUUGUUGUGCGACUUCCAAGUUGGAAGCUUUAAUAUUUUUUCAUGAAAUUUGUUAAUGUAUGGAUUGAAAUAGAUGAAAUUGAGUUGAAUGAAGGAACUUGAUGUAUUAAGUUGAUGUUCAUGCUUAAGCCCUAAGUUAUGCAUACUAGAAGUUUGAUAAAAUGCCUAAGAGAGUAAGAUUUAUGCUUAUAGACUCAAUGGGGACUAAAUGAUGAAUCCAUGCUUUAUCCUUAUAUUUCAAAAUGACUCUCAUGCUAUUGUGAUGCGUUGAACCAUAAGACUAUAAUUGUGUAACCAUGAUAUAUUUGAAUGCAUUCCUAUUCAUGUACAAGAGUAUGAGAACCAAGUGCUUCAUGAAACUCCCAAAGUGAUUGUAUUAUGAAUUAUUGAUUGUCUUCAUGGGUUCAAGAAGUGUCAUGUCUUAUCAGUUUCAUCCCACCGAGUCCUGGGGGUACUUGUACCGGACAAUUUAGUUGUGUGCCUAGAGCCAGUGUCAGUUUCACGAUAAUCUCAGUCAAGCCAUGAUCAGUAGAAUUUAGUCAAUUACAUGACUCAGGAAAACAUAGCAAAUUUAGUAUCAUUUAAGUAAUUUCAGUAAUCUCAGUAGUCUCAGUAAUUUCAGUCAGUUAUCAGAUCUCAGUAAUAUUUUGUCAGUCAACGAAAUUCAGUGAACUCAAUCCAGUUUAGUCCAUAUAUUCAGUUCAGUUUCUAUUCAUAUGGGAGUAGGAUUCAGCACCGAGUGAGCCCAAGGAUGGGAACUCACCUGCGAGUAGAGGGUGUGAUUCUUAGAAGCAAUCCUUGCACUCCAGAACUAGGUAGCCAGCAUAGGUUGAGACAUCAAACCUGCUAGAUGAGGGUAGAUAAGGUGGCUUAACCUGUUAGAUGAGGGUCCCACCAUUCUCAUUAGAGUACCUGUUAGAUGAGGGUCACUCACAGCUUGUCCUUACUAGUGGCGCGGUAUUGACACCCUACUAAUUGGGGUUACAGAUUGGACCCCAACUCAGCUAUAAUAGCUUAUUAGGGGCAUAUCGGUUAAAGGACUAUUUCCUAUAGUUACAAUCUCAGUCUCAGUCUCAGUAAUAGAACUCAGAUAGUUCUACAAAAUCUAGACAGUCAGCCAGUAUAGUACGAAACUCAGUUAAUUCCAUCAGAAUUUAGACUGUCAGAUAUAGUCACUCAGUAUCAGUUACAUCAGUUAUCAGUAACUCAUGAUAUCAGUAUUCAGACUCAGUAGUCAGUAUUAACACAAAUUUAGUUACAGUUACUUAUUCAUCCAUAUAUUCUUACAUUCAUUUUAUAUAGUUAGUUAGUCUUGUUCAUGCAUAUGAACCCUUUCCAUUCAACCUACCUCACUAGUAUACCAGUUCAUUCAAUCAUACUGACGCAUUUGUGCUAUGGUGUUUUAUACCAUAGGUUUAGAAGUACGAUCUCCAGAGCAUCAGUAGCAUUCCAGUUUAAGCAAUCAGAGUCAGCAGUGAGUCCUCAUCAUUCCAGGAUUUUAUGAUUUGAUUACUUUACUUCUACAGUACUUAGUUUAUUUCAGUAGUUGGAGUUAGUAGGGGACAUGUCCUAUCAAAUUCUUAGUCAGACAGUACAGUGUUAGAGGCUUUUAGACUAUAGUAUGUUCAGACAGUUAUUUUAGUUGUUUUGGUAUUGAUAUACCGUAUUUUUAGAUGUUGUGUUUUAUCAGAUAUUUGAACCAUAUGGCCUUUCAGCCUUUUAUUCUGCAUUUAUAUAGUAUAUUAUGCAGUGUUCAGGUACAAAUAUUAGUCAUGGGUUAGCUUGUGGUCCUUAGGGGUUAUGAGCAUUGUAUAGCAUUCUGGGUACCAAAUUCAAGGCGUUACAGCCACCAAUCGGGGUUAAAAUAGAAAAAGGAUCAGAAACACCCUCGGGGUCAAAACCAAAAUGCACAGCCACAAAUGGGGCCACAUAAGAAAGAGUGGCCCCCAAUCACGUAAACAAUAGAUAUCACAGGAGAAAAUUUUUAACAUACAAGUAACAACAUCGGGGGAUGCCUCAGAAUCCUAGCGAGACGCAAGAGCAUAUAACUAAUUUCGGCCAAUGCUGGUGCCAGAAGCAGAAACUGAUACAGAAGCAGCACCCUUUAGUGUAGGAGCAGAUGAAAAAGCAAAAUGAGCCUUGUUAGCCCCACAAGCUAUUCUAACAUGACAGUUACAUACAUAUGAAAUCUAACCAUAAUAAAAGCAUUUGUUCUUCCCUUCCUCAGAGAACCCAUGGUGCAACCACCCACAAAAUCUAUAAGGAGAGUGGGAUAUAGUAGAUUGAGCCCUACUAGCCUAAGAUUGGGCACCCUAUGCCCGGGACCCACCGUCAUGCUAAGAUCAAAGAUCACCCGAUGGCUUCAGGUAAGGAGCACUAGCUAUGGAGAAAGAACCAUAACUCCCCCACUUCAUUUUUGGCCACUUACCACCAUCUCUACCACUUUGCUCAGAAGACCUAAAAUUUUUCCCCUACCUCUCACUAAACUCAAACUACUUUUAUUUCUCCUUUUUCACUUGUUGUAUGUAUACAACCAACUUAGAGAUAUCCAUGUCCUUGAUUAACAAGGCAAUCUUACUCUCAAAAAUCAACUCAUAAGACAGUCCCAAAGCAAGCUUAUGCAUCCUAGCCCUUAUGCUAGAGACCAACUCAGGAGAAUACCUGGACAACUGAUGAAAUUUCAAGGCAUACUCUUUAAUAGACAUCCUACCUUACCUUAGAUUCACAAACUCUUCCGCUUUUGCUUCCCUCAACUCUUGAGGAAAUAAGUGGUCUAAGAAGGCACUAGAAAGGUCAUCCCAUAAUACAAAGUCAACACCAUAUCCCCUAUACUGUUCCCACUCCUCAUAUCAUUAGUAUGGCACAUCUUUCAGCUGGUAGGCGGCAAACUCUACACCCUCCAUAUCGGUAGAAUGCAUAAUAUGAAAAAUUUUCUCCAUCUCAUCAAUAAAAGUAUAAGGACCCUCCUCAACCUUGGUACUAGUAAACAUAGGAGUAUUCAACCUCAUAAACUGGCCAACCCUUGUGGCCUCGGAAGAUGGAGUAAUAGGAACACCACGCUUAGACUAAGAAGCUACCAACUGAGUCAACAAAUUAAUAGAGCGAUGAAACUCAGCAUUAGUAGCCUCCCCUUGAGGUGACUGAGUACGAGUGCUAUCCUUGAGAGUAUGAUUAGUGAGGACGGGUGGAAACCCACGAGGACAGUCAGAUGCAGCAACCCUUGCCCGAGUUUGGACUCCAAAAAUAAAGUGUGUCACAUUAAUAUUGUCCCCAAUUGGGAUAGAAGAGUUUGUAUGAACAUUAGAUCUUCUUAGAGGUAUAAUCCUAAAGACAAGCAAAUGAAAAUUAGAAGAAUCCAAAACCUUAAACUCUAUAGCUCAAAAUAAGACAACAAGAAAGUGGAAUAUUCCUAAAUGCCUUGUAGCCUCUCCCUAAUGAGUGUGGCAUGAUACAUACCCUUAAAAGAGACUCUACUCGACAUGAUUUUAUGGACUCCUAAUUGACCAUGAACCUAGGCGCUCUGAUACCAACUUGACACAACCCAAAUCAGAGCCUUGUCAUUAUGGGCAUCUCAAGCCCAACAAGGAUUGAAGAUCGCCCCACUACCCAAUCCAACAAACUAACAUAUACCCUAAGUCUUACGAACUCUGAGCAUAAAACAAGAUAGAGUGAUUACCAACACAAAGACUUUGGGAUAGGUACAAGACUAUGACCAACCCAAACAAAUCUAACCAUACAAUGCAAAACCAACAACUAUAUCCAAAACCAAAAUAAUAACCAAGUCCAUAUCCUUAGCAUAACGUAAUAGAACAAUCACAAUUAAAUACAAUUAAACGGUAUCAACCCCAAUACCAAUACCAAUAGCAAACUAAUGCCAAGGUUGAUUCCACUACCAACAUCGCUAAUACCAACCCACAGUAGUCUCACAAAGCCAUUAUCCAAAAUUAAAAUAAUAUUUGGUCGGGAAAUGCCCCUGACCAUAGCCAAAACCAAUAUCCAAUACUAAACCAAAGAAAAUAUAACAAACUAAAACUAGAAAUGGAUCCUUCCAAACUAUAGAAGCUCACCACUUUAAGUCAACACAAGCUGUUCCUGAGUCCAAUCACUGAGUAGGAGGUAUAGUAUGACCAACACCUGCAUCGCAUAGGGAUACAGCAUCGAAGACGGUUAGUGAUUGGAGCACUAGUAUAUAACUCAAGGAUAAAGAAAAAUAAUGCCAAUAGUUCAAAUCAAAUCAUCCAAUGCAUAUAACUAAUGUGAUAUAUACAUAUAUAUACAUAUAUCAUGUCUGGAUAGGAAACAAGAUUAGCAUGAACUUUGAAAACAUUAACCCAGGCUGUGUAGCAUGACCAUCAUAGAACAAGGCACCCAUGGGCUAUAUAGGACUAGCUCUCCUCUAGAUAGAAGGGCCCCAGUACGUGUAGUCGCACGAACCAAAGAAUAUCCAAAUCUGUAUAUGCUUAUAUAGGGGAGUCAAACCUCUCGGCAUAAUCAAGGUGGCUUAAGCACCAAUACAUGCAAUAAGGGGAUUUGAACCCCUUCACAUAUUUAUUCGGGGGACCUAAACCCCCCGAUCAUAAGACACCCACACCGGCUAGCAUGGUUUCCAGGGUUAGUCCUUUGAACUCCACUUUCAUUGCCUGGCUAUACAUCUCGCUUUAAAGCCCAAUUUAAAAUAACCACUUCACAUGUACAACCAUUAAGCCAAUUACUUACCAAAGGCACUUCGUUGGUAUCACCAUACCAAUACUAUUUGCAAGCGUAUAAUAUGCCAUUACCAUUAUCAAUCAACCAAUCAUUCAUUUGACUUUGGGACUCAAACUCAUUGUCUUACAAUGACACUUAUUCAAUUCAAAGUUUAGGGACUCAAACCUAUUGUCUAACAAAGAUAUACAUCAAGUUAAUGUUUAUGGACUCAAAUCUAUUUAUCCAAUUAAACCACCAAGGUUACCAUUUGAAUCAUUACAUGGCAAACAAGACCUUUACAAAACCAUUUAUGAACCAUUCAUAUUCAUUAGGCCAAUGCCUUAGUUUGAAAUAUCAAUAACAUAUGACUAGUUUAUUCUCUUAGGCAUUUUCACGACCACUUUGAGGGCAUAUCAUUUCCAUAACCAAAACCAAAGUAAAACCAUAAACUUUAGGGUUAACCAUGACCCAUUUUUUAAACCAAAAUUACCAAGCACCCACAUGUGCAAACCAUUACCAAAAACAUAUAUAAACGCAAGUUAAACCAAGAGUAAAUAAUACUCAACCAUAUGCAACAAAACCCUCAAUUUUAGUUUUCAAAAUAUCCAUUUAAGAAUCAUAAUCACACUUUAAAACACAUUAUAUUUAUGAACUAACAAUGGGGGAAGAGUCACAGGCCUUAUUCAAGAAGAUUCACGAAACAAGAUUGACUCUUGAGCCUUUAGAUGAACACCUUUGAAGAUCCCUAGCCCCAAUUUUCUUGAGAGAGUUUAGAGAGGAUUUUGAUGUGUUUUAUUAUUUCAAAGUAAGUUAUGAGAGGCCAAAAUAUGUUUUAAUACAUGGGGACUUAAGGGUUUUAAGGUGGGAAAUGACCAAAGUACCCUUAGCUUAAAAGCUGAAAGCAUGGUCGCAGAAGGGUACGACCACACCCCCAAAUUGUACCCUAUUAUACGAGUGGUAUCCACCACUCUUACCCUAUACAUUACCUUGGAUCUCAAUACUGACCAACAUACGGACACAAAGGAUAACUCAUAUCCUAUAAUACGACAAGUACCUUAGAAUCAUACCCUAGGCAGAAUAGAAUCACUUAGGCAAGGCAUAGUGCAUCAUAUGGUUUGGCGUCAUACUUUUAGUACCCUAAUAUAUGACUAGUAUGAUACAUUCGUACCUUGGACACAAACCAAUCAAACUACACAGAUCAUUAUACGAGCGGAAGGACCGUAAACUGUACCACAUUAUACGACUACUAUGCACAAGUUAUAUGAUGUCCAAAAGCUGAACUUAGGAAAUUUUCUAAGGGUCCAAAUCCAAGGUGUUUCAAUGCAGCGGAGUUCACAUUCUAAGUAAUUAUGGUCCUGAUCGAGCCCAUAGAAGAGGCGGUCAAGAUCAUUCCAAAGAAGAGGCACCCAUCCUUCUAAUCGAACAAAGGGGAAUUUUUAUCGGAGGCAUGAGUGUUGUUUAAAGAAAAAGAGUCUUUUGCAUCUUUUAGUUUAGGUAGAAGUGACUGGUUACAUAGAAAUUAUCAUUGUAUAAAUAGACUCAUAGAAGGUGGUGUUUCAUAUUCCGAACCAACGAGCAGUCAACACGUGUAGGAAUAGAAUACGAUUAGCUUGCGUAUACCAACUGUUUUUAUGUGAAUAGACAUGUUCACAGAUUUUAAUUAAUGAGUACAUGAAACAACGGUUUAAUGCAUCUAUUGGAGUGAUAUGGUGGUAAAAAUACCUAAUGUGUUUGAUGAGUAAUCAUAUAUCCUUUAACAAUUCUUCAAUCGACCAAGUAAAAGAUAUAGCAUAGAUUUAUGUGUUCUACCAUAGACAAAGCAUAUAGUCAAUUACAACUAAACAUUAAAUUCUAGGUAAAUUCGGAGGUCCCCCAAAACAGUGGCUGAGUUACAAAAGAAGAAAAAAUAUCUAUCUAAUAGUUGUUAGCCAUGCUACAUGUGGUUCUUUUGUGUUCGUCUUUCUUGCAUAUUGAACACUUAUUCCUCCUUUUGGACUUGAAAGUUUCACCGAUGCCCUUAACGCAUUUGACUCUAUUCCUUUUGAGUUUGGGAUCGCAGGAGGUGGAAAAAUCUUCAUGUCUUGCAAUUCUUAUGGCACAAUUUAUUCAGACUCUAGAAGGACAACGUUAAUAGCUUCAGAGUAUACAAGAAGGUAAGUUUCAAUUUUAUAAAUAGGUGAAGAGUACUCAUAGAUGGAAUUACCAUAACCUUUUUCAUCGCCAUACUUUGAUCGCAAAACGACCAUCGCAUGUUCGUACGAUAGUUUCACCAAGUCAUAUUUCCUACAAGAACAAGUCUUAUCUGAGAGAUUGACCUUGGCAGUAACAACUCUGUCAAACUCGCGAAUUGAUCGAUAUUCUCAUUCGAAUUAGUCAUAUAUAAGGAAUCGCUCGCGCUCUUAUUAUCCCUUAAGAUCUUUUCUGUACGAGGCACAAAUUUGUUAUUUGAAGCACAAAUUUGUUAUUUGAACUGCCGACAAAUGCAUGCCACACCCUAAACUUUUCAGCAAAUUUUUUAGCAAUCAAAUUGAAUAUGUAUGACACGGGGUACUCUCGUUCAUCCGUCAACACUAAGUUGAGCGACUCGGUAAUGUUUGUGGUAAUCACAUCGUACCUAUUGCCUGGGAAGUAUACUCUACUCCACUUCUCAAAAUCAAGCACAUUUUUAAGUAUAUGUGCUGCCUCGAGGCAUUUAUCCUUGAAUUUCACAAAAUGCUCACUAAACUCAUUAAAAUAAUAUGCCUUUAUUAUGGUGUAGAAUAGAUAAAAUGCUCUCCACUGAGUUGCUUUACACAAAGAUUUUCAGCGAGGUGCCUCAUGCAAAGUCCAUGAUGCAUAGAGUUGUAAACACGGAAGAAGGCAUUGGCAAUGCUAAUGUGUCUAUCAGAGAUGACACAUACAUCUGGAUCAUCGUCUACUAUAGACUUCAACUUCUCGAAGAAGAAGGUCCAAGAAGCAUCGUUCUCUUUAUCCACAACAUAAAAGGAAAUUGGGUAAAUAUGAUUUUUGACAUCCUAUGCAACGACACUCAACAACAUACCCAUAUACUUUCUAUAUAAAUGUAUUUCAUCAACGACAGUUACCUUUCUUAUGUCGGCAUAUCCCCGUAUGCAAGCUUCAAAAUCUAAAAAGUAGUACAUAGACGAUCCAUAGUUCUUGUUAACCAUGAUAGAAUACAAAAAACUGGCAUUCAAUGACUCGAUCUUGUAGGAAAAAUCCAAAAAAAAAUAUCUAUAAUCCGGUGUCCCAUAAACAAUGUUCUUCACAAUUACACUUCCUUUCCAACACAUCCAAUAGCUUGACUUCCAAUGCAUCUACCUAAACAAAAUCUCUGAAUUUCUCUUAUGCUUGGACCCUUACCAUCAUGAAAAUGAUUUACACAUAGUGAAGAAAUAAUAUCGAAUGAGAUUUUCUCAUGCCUGCUCGUGGCGUGUUCAACACUGCAAGUGUGGACCCCAAAAUACUUGUAUAUGAGAAAUUUGUUCAAGAAUUUGUACUUUAUUGCCCAAAACAACCAGCUACAACCAUGAGAUACACAUUUCACCCUCAAGAAUUUGCUACAACUCUUCUCCUUAACAAAACCAAAAGACUGCCUUACCGAUGCUCCAUCUAGUAGCAUUUUCAGCUCUUACUUGUUUCUGAACGUUUGUUCAAGAUAGAAAUUAGUUCCAUCAGAAAAGAAAUGACUUGGUUGUGCUCCCAAUCCACAAUCUUCUUCAACACCUUUCGAGUCCAAUGAAUCAUAUGUAAUAUCCAUAGAAUCAUCUUUCAUAUUCAUUGGAUAAUCACUCUCGUUCUCGUAUUUAUUCAACUCGUCGUCGACUGUCAGGCAUCGAGAUGGGGGUGGUGAUGAAUUCAACGAUUCUUCACAGGGCCUCUCAACUAUAUUUAUUCUUAAAUAGGCCUAAAGCCAUCAGUACCAACAUCCAUCAUGUACAAAGACACAAGUCUGUUAUUAUUUAUGAUCAUAGGAUGCACCUUUUCCCUCAAGUUCAUUAGAUAACUAAUCACCACAUCGUUCAGUUCACAAUUUAAAUCCUCGCUCUCUAUUACGCUUGCAACCAAGUCAUCGUGUGAACUGUUGUGGAAAACCACCAUGGGCAAUAUCACCUUAGUAAAAGAUUUCCAAUUCCAACAUUGGGAGUAUCCUCCCAUUCUACCAUAAAAUCACUGGAAAUAAGAACAAACUUUGCAAUAGACAUCCGAGAAUUUCACUGGAGUCGAUCCUUGAUUAUGCUACACGUAUAUGUCUGUUAUAUGAAUGAUCGAUGGCUAGUCGAUGAAUUAAUUGAUGACUGGACAGAUAUCCAUACAAAAUAGUAAAAUUAUAAAUAUUACUUCUAAUCAACGAUCGUUGGGUUUAUGGAAUAGAGAAAUGAAGUUGGAGUCGCCUGAGCUGCAGUAAUGUACUCUCUAAAAAGCUUUUAAGUAAUGUGAGUGAUUUGGAAGCAUUUUAACAAUGGUGAAAAGUGUGUAUGAAAAGAUAACAAACAAAUGGGUUAACAAUGAAUGCAAGGAUAAGAUUAUGAUCUUUGUGGACUGAUUUUGAGCUGAUCGCUGAAAUUGUGUCUGAAUCAGAGAAUUUUAGAGGAAAACGAGAGCUUCUAGUUUAAGCUUUUGAAAGUUUUUUUUAAUUAUUUUUAGAAAGAUAUUUUCAAUAUAAUUUUGAAUGAAUAAGGAGGCUAAAUUGUAUUAUUAAAAACUUGUGUUCUAGAUUUGUUAACUUAGAAAAAAAAAGAUGAUAAUAUCAUAAUUAGUGGGUAUUUAGCAAAUUUUUCAAGACUUGCGUCUAAAUGGCAAGAAAAAUUUUCAAAACAGAUAUUUGGCAACUUAGCCCCAAGAAACACUGUAGAACAAGAUUUAAAAAGGGGGGAAAAGAAUCAAAUUUACCUCUCUACUUUUAAAAAUUGGUCAAUUUUACCCGUAGUCAUGCUUUUGGGUCAUAUUUAUCCCUACCAUUAAGAAAGUUUUCAUAUCUAUCCCUCAAUUUAUCGGAAUGUCCCAAAUUCAAUAAAAUAAUCCAUUCUUAAAAAUAAAAUUCAUAUCGACAUCAUAAUCAAAAGGACCCACGUUAGUUUUCAGAAAGUUGUUCGUUCUAAAUCUAGAAGAGGAGCUCUGCUAGUUAAUAGAGAUUUGAACAUAUUUUCCAUCUCUAUACUUCACUACCAUUAAUGGCAAUUUCUACACUAUGAAACCAUGAAUAUGUCAUCGGACCAUCGCCGGAGCAGCAACCUCAACAGCAAAAACGACCGACAAAACCACCACAAUAAUUGAAAACAAAACAAAAAUUGCUAAUGAUCAAUGAACAAAAUUAUCUGUGACAAAUCAAAUACUUUUCCAGUUCUUUUCCUUUAUUAAUCCUUCUCUUACUGUUCAUUCUUAAAUCCAUAGUGUUGUUGGUUCUAAAAAAUAAUGAAGAGAGGUUACUCGGAAUCUCUAUCUUCCAGUUUUUAUGGACAACCCAUAAGGCAUUUUACUAUCUCCAAUUUUGAUGGUCAGAAGAAGCGGACUUCGACUGUAAGAAAGAUUCUCCGAUUUGAAAGGCUUCCUGUGCUCACAAAGAAACACAUGUCGAUGAUUGUAUUAUUGAAAUAAUUACAUGGAAGAAGUGCUAAAAAAUUUUAUAUUUUUUAUAUUACCAUUUAUUAGAAAUUAAAUUAAGCAUGAGUGAAUUAAUUAAUUAAAUGCACAAAUUACAACCAUUGUCCCAAAUGAAACAUAAUAUAAAGGUUGUAACUGAACUUGGGGAGAAAUUAAAUUUAGAAUAAGUUGCAGAAAGAAGCAUUCAUAGGGUGGAUGAGAUAUGUUAGAACUAAAUCCACCAGCAUUAACACAUAAGCAAUCCCUUAAUCUAUUGAUAUUCAUCACUAGUAAGGGUAAGAGCAGGGACAAAGUCCUAAGCUUGAGCGAUGAAAAAAGUCAUAGCAAAGAUGGCCAACGGCAUUGAAACUACCACAGCCAUAACUAACCUCCCCUACCUUUUGUUCUUAAAAGAGAGGGGGGCGGAUGAAACUUGCAAACAUACAAGUGGAAACGUUGGUCACACAAGUGUUAUAUGAGUUUUCAUUUUUUGGAUCGGGUCAGGGGAUAUGAGUUUUAUUUUUAAAAAUGGAAUAUUUUAGUGAAUUUAGGGUAUUCUGUUAAAUUGAGGGAUACAUAUGAAAACAUUUUUAACAAUAGGGUCAAAUAUAACCCCAAAGUAUGAUUGAGGAUAAAGUUGGUCAAUUUUUAAAAGUAUAAGAGAAAUUUGACCUUCUUUCCUAAAAACAUUGCACCAACAAGAACCUAAAAUUUUUCAGUUUUCUCUUAGUUACAUUUUAAAAUAUUGAGUAUGUAAGUUUCCUACUUAAAUUAUCUCUAAUUAUUUAUUUAAAUAUAUUUUAAAUUAUUAAUCAUUGAGAAAAGACAUAAAGUCACUAUGAAAUUAUUUCGAAUUUAUAAAAAAAAAAACUUAAAUUUUAUCAAAAUCCUAUUACUCCACGAAAUAAUUUUGAACUUAUACAAAUAUAUCUUUUUUGAUCAAUCCUAAGUUUUAAAAAGAAAGCAUACAUCAUACCCCAAAUAUUGCGUUCCACAUGUUAGAUUUAUUUUAUUUUUUAAUCUUUAUUUUUAUUUAAUUUUUUUAUUUUAUUAACAUAAGAUCUCUUUUUUUCUUUUCUUCUUCUCCAAGCAUUCAUGUCAAUCUUUUUCUCCUCUUCACCGAUAAUUUUUUGAUGUGGCAACCAUUACUACAAUAUCUACCCUAUUGUGUCUAUCACUAAAUCACCGAUAAUUCAAAAUUAAAAUUAAAAAAUUAAUAUAUCAAAUUAAAAAUUACUAUCAAAAUUGUCUUCAUGUGAAUCCUACCUUUGAUUUUUGCUCUAAAUCAGGUGGAUUAUGAUUGAAUAUCUUUCUACUUUAUGUAAAAAAAAAUUAUUUUUUUAUUGACUCUAUAUUUAACUAGCCUACUAAAUUUCUCCUUAUUUGUAUCAAUUGAUUUCAACAUGUGUACAACUUGUUAGGUGAGGACAAAAUUUCAAAAAAAUCAAAUGAAGAUUUAUAUAGAGUUGGGAUGAAACUCUCAAAAAGGUAGAUGCUUUCAUCGUUUUGAAUUCUAAAAUUCAAUUUAAUGACUUUUGAAGAAUUGUCUAAAAUUUUAUUAGAUAAGAUUUUACAAUCAAAGAAACAAAUCAAAGUGAUAUCAAUAAAAAAAGAUCAAGAGAGUUGUAGAAAUUUUGGUGACAUUGAAAAUGACGGAGAAAAUGGUCAUGGCAGCUAAUUUGUGAUGUUACAAAUGAAACAAAAAUGAAAAAGGAAAAAAAUAAAUUCAACAAGAAAAAUUUAGUAAAAAUAAAUUUAUAAAAUUAUUUUAUGAGUUGCUCACACUCUUAAAGAGAGUCCACACACUCUCCAGGACAGGUGACAAGAAAUAAAUUUAAUAAAAUCACUUCUGAAUUGUUCAAAUAAAUUCGUUCAAAUACGAAUAAAUGAAAUUACAAAUACAAAUAAAUAUACUCAACUUCAAAAUACAAAUACAACAUCGUAUUUUAAAAAUACAAGUGUAUUAAUGAAAAUAAAAUAAAAAUAAAAAUACAAACAAAUUAAAAUCACAAAAAAAUUCAAUAUGCAGUCAACAAUAAAAUACAAAAUAAAAUAAUUUUUUAAAAUACAAGUGUGAAUUAUAUAAAAUAUAAAUGAUAGUGAAAACUAUAAUACAUAAAUACAAGUACAAACUAUAAAAUACAAAUACAAGUAUAAACUAUAAAAUAAAUACAAAAAUAAGUGUGAACUAUAAAAUAUGUAUACAACUGUAUCAAGGAAUAUAAAAUAUAAAUAAUAGAUCGAAUACAAAUACAAUAAAUGAUUAUGAUGUUUUCAUUAUUAUCCAUGAUUUAUGUUCAACAUAACCAUCUUUUUCAAAAGUUCAAAGAAAAUAUAAAGUAAGAUUCAAAAGAAAAUGACAAAGUAAAAAAAAUAAAAAAAAAAAAGAUAGAAAAUAAUAGAAGCUAGAGAUAGAAGAGUAAGAAAAAAAAAACUCAAUAGAAAAAGAAGUGAAAAAAGAAGAAAGAGAAGUAGAAGAGUAAAAAUAAAAGUGAAAGAAAGAAACCAAAAAAAAAACGAAAAAAAUAAAUAUAGGAAAAAAAUAAAAAUAUGAAAAAGAAAAAAAUAAAAAAUCAAUAAAGAAAAAAUGAGAAAGGAACAAAAAAAAAGAGAAAUAUGAGAGAAAAAAAAUGAAGAGAAAAAAAUGAAAAAGAAAAGAAAUCAAAAUAGGAGAAAAACGACAAAAAAAAAGAUGAAAAAAACUAACAAGAAAAAAAAUUAGAAAAACAAAAACAGGUAAGAGAGGGAGUGCUCUCGGCGCACAUUAGCAAGGCUGCUAACGUGCACCUUUUGUAAUUCCCCAUGGCCUCCACCGAAAAAAUGCGGGUUCGCUGGCGAAAUUGGUUACCCCUCAAGACGUAAUAAGUUGUUCAUUGCCUUCACUAAUAUUUGGGAAUUUUCUUCUCCUCAAGUAUCAUUCUAUUCCUGAGGAGAUUGAGGCACCCAGCUCAGACUCAGACUCACCGACUUUGCUUCACCUUCGGAAUUUUUGUUCCACUUGCUCAAACAGGAGGUUGUAAUUCUCGGAGCAAGCACCUCCACCUCAAUAGCCAGUGAAGAAGAAAUCUGAAAAUCGCAUGACUGGUACUAGUAAAUCCCCGUCCUAUGUUCCUACGACUUUUAGAGAAGGCAAAAUCUUUGUGACUAUUGUUGGGGAUGAUUUGAAAAAGCAACCGCACUAUAGGCAAAAUGCCAUAAUUGGUUUUGUGGUGGGUGACUCUCCUUACAAAAAUCCAGGGAGAAUUUUAUGUCAAAUGUGUUGAGCUUUGUGGAUAAACCACAAACCCUGGGUCAUGAUACUGGAUAUUAUAUCUUCUGAUUCAAUUCAGCUACAGAUAGGAAUAAAUUUCUUCUUAAUGUCCCUUACACGUUUCAUAUUAAACCCUUUGUAGUUAAACCAUGGGAAAUUGAUUUUGAAUUUGACCCUAACUGUACCACAAUUAUUUCGCUAUGGAUUAUAUUGCCGGUAUUGCCUGUUGGAUAUUAGUCUGGUGACCCGUUAACUAAGAUAGAGAGUGAAAUUGGUCGACCUCUUCACACAGAUCACUUUACUGCUAGUAUGGAGAAUAUAUUUUAUACUCGUGUACGUGUUGAAGUGGAUGCUUCUCAGCCACUAAUUGACUCUAUAGAGAUAGUGACUCCAACCGGUACAUUCCAUCAACCUAUUGAGUAUGACUGAAAACCUAGAUUCUGUGGUUAUUACCUUUGAUUUCAACACUUUACUGAUGAUUGUCGGGUGCAUAUCAUGGAUAAGAGCACGGAUCAGGAAAAUUCCUUCUAAGAGAAGCCAAAAAGGAGAAGAAGGAAUAGACGAAGGAAAAGACGUGUACAUCAAGAUUGGUAAACAAAGGAAGCGAGAAACACUACGAGUGAAGGUACUACCAAUCCCCAACCACUGGCUAGUCAAGAACAAUCCCAACCUUUGAAUAGUGAACCUAAGCCACAUGUACAGAGUAUGCCCACCCAGCAAGGACCUGUGGAUGGUAGGACUACCUUGGAAGGAGUUGCUAGUACCUCUAGGGGUGAAAAUAAGUUCUCAAAUUUAGAGAUUAUGGGUGACCAUGAGGGUGAUCCAAGUGCUCUUGGCAAGCAACAUUACAUGAUCUUUGCAACUUAGAACUUAAAGGGCUUGAACAAACCCCUCGGGCAAAAAGAUUUAAAGCUCUUUCUAAUUAAGCAUAAGAUAGAUGUAAUGGGAUGUUUAAAGACAAAGGUGAAGCAGCACAAAAGUCCCAACAUACUGGCAAAGGUUGCACAAGGAUGGUAUGCUAGUUGUAAUUGCUCAGAGGCUCCAAAUGGUCAAAUUUGGCUACUUUAGAGAUCACAUGUGAAGGUACAGGUAUUGAUAACUCAUGAGCAAUUUCUAUAUUGUUAUAUUAAGUGUCCAAUAGAUUCCUUUGCUGCUUAUGUUACUAUUGUAUAUGCAAAAAAUACUAUUGCUGAAAGAGUUGCAUUGUAGACUGCUUUGGUGGGAAUGAGUGCUACCAUUCAAGAACCUUGGAUCCUGAGUGGAGACUUCAAUGCUAUCUUGAGUCCUGAUGACUGGUUGGGCUCCCCUGUUACAACUACUAAACACAGGACUUUAGACACUUCAUGGGUGUUUUGUAACUCACGUCUUUAAGAUCUAGGGGUUGCUAUUAUUCCUUUUUCAGUAAAUAAGAGCAAAAUCACAGAAUCUAUUCAAGAAUUGACUGGGCUAUGGGUAAUUAUCACAAGUUACAAAGCUAUGGAGCAGUGGAGGCUGACUAUUUGGAAUUUUUAACCAUUCCUAUAUCCUGCUACAAUGUAAUCGUACAUUGAGUAAUAGGCCAAAGCCUUUUAAAUUAUUCUCCACAGUCAUGCAACAUCACCAGUUUCUUGAUAUUGUUGCAAGCACCUGGACACAUAGCUUUAUUGGAACCAGAAUAUACUAGCUAGCUCAGAAGAUGAAAGCUCUAAGAACUAAUCUAAAGAGCCUUAACUCUAACCUGGAUUUCUAUGAAAUUCAUCUGCAUACUACCUAGCAGCAGCUUGCAGUUGUUCGAGAUAAACUGGCCAUUAAUCUGUUGAAUAAGACUUUGAUAGAGGAGGAAAAACUACCUAUUCAGAAACUGCACCAAUGGAGUCUAUUGGAAGAGUAAACACUAAGACAAAAAUCUAGGGCCAGAUGGAUUACCUGUGGAGACUCUUAACUCUAAAUUAUUUCAUGCACAAUGCAGGAUUAGAGAAAGUAGGAAUGUUAUUACUUCUAUCUAUACUGAUCAAAGACUGAAGGUUAUAGAUCCAGCAUUAGUGGAACAAGGAUUUGUUUCCUUUUUAACCAACUUCUUAGGAACUGCAGCUGCUAAGGUUCCUCUGCCAAACUCGAAAGUCAUUAAAAGUGGUCCUUUUUAAUCUGCUCCACAAAAGAUGGCGCUCGUACAACAGGUUACAGAGGAAGAAAUAUGAUUUCUAUAAAGGUCAUGGCCAUUAAUAAAUCACCAAGAGUGGAUGGUAUCCCUAUUAAGUUCUACACCAAUCAAUGGAACAGAGUGAAGCCAGAUGUGUUGCUAGCUUUAAAAGAAUUCUUCCACUCAGGUAAAAUGCUUAAAACAUUUAGCUGCACUACAGUGACUCUUGUGAAAAAUGUACCUGCUCCCACAGUAGUCAAAGACUAUAGGCCUAUAGCAUGUUGUAAUACUUUUUAUAACAUCAUCAUAAAGGUGUAACAAACAGGAUGAAAGGAGUAAUGAACAUUAUUAUCAGUCCCCUCUUAGUUGGCUUUUAUAAAGGGCAGAUCUAUCAUUGAUAAUUUGUUAUUUAGUCAUUAAUUAUUGAAGUGGUAUACUAGGAAAAUUUGUGUAACACACCACAUUUUUGAGCUAGAGAUCGAAUUGUUGUUCCUACAUGUGUAAUCUCUAAUCCCAUAAUUUAUAUUUGAAUACAUGAGUCAUGAAAAUUAACCUAGUGUGAAGAGUGCUUAUGAGGUGUAAAAAUAUUCAUAGGAAUCACCUAGAUCAAAGUUGAGCUAAGAGCCUCUAAUUCGGCCAAAUUUUGGUAUUCGAUUCUACACGGGUGUACUUUGAACGUGUAUAACUUUUUACAUAUGUGGAAUUUUACAUCUCAAGACCUACCGAAUUAUAGAUAAUUUAAUUAGCUUUCUAACGAUAUCAAUUUUGCCUUAAUUUGAUAUCCAAAUGAAAAGUUAUGACCAUUCUCGUGAGAAACAGUAAUUGUAACACCCCAUGUUUUUAAUGCUCAAAUAAUGCAUUCAAAAUGACCUUUAGGACCCCCAUUUUGAUGGUAAACCAUGUUUAGAUGUUAUGGGUUGUGUUGGGGGUGUUUUUGGACGUUGGAAAUAGGUGUGCAUAGCCAAAUAGACCCUCCGCUAAGGCCAUGCGUUGCAUGAAAAUUGCCAAAAUCCACUGGAUGAGGUGUGCUUUUGGUGUGUGCCGCACACCCUCACGUGUGCUUUGGCUGUACGCCGCCCAACAAAAGCCAAGUGCCAAAAUUGCUUCGUUUUGACUUAGUUUAAGGGCUUUGAGGUAUUUUCACACCCCUAAACCAUUUCUAAACCUUCUUAAAUGAAUUAAGGGGUCUUGAAACACGUUAUUUUCCACUCUCUAAACCCCAAACAUCCAGUACACGAUUUAAAACCCUUCCCUCUUCCUAAGAACAAAAUUCAGGUUUCUUCCCACAAGAACUCAAGGAUUUAAGUUCCAAUUUCAAGUUUUCUUUAAGGAUUCAAGUAAUUGGGGUAUGUGGGUUAUUCAUCAAUGGGUUUCUUUCACAUAUUGAGCCCAAAAACCCUCUUUUUGGUUCAAGUGUGGAUUUUUCUCUAAUUCAUGAUCAUCUUCUAUGUAAAUUAUGAAAUUCAUCCAUGUUUCCUCUUUGUUUUGCAUUCAAGUUAUGCUAAUAGUUUUAUCCCAUGAGAAUAGGGCAAGGCAUAUUUUGGUUUAAACCAAAAAAAUUGAAAAAUCAAAUCAAAAUUUAAUUUUGAUUUGGUUUUUGAUUUUUUGGAUUGAUUUCGAUUUUAAAUUUUAGAAAUUUGGUUAAAUGGUUUGGUUUUUGGAUUUUUCAAAAAAAAAUUGGGUAAACCGAAAAAAUGAAAUUAUAUAAAUAAUAUAUUAUAAUUUAUAUAUAUACUAUUUGUUAUUAUACAUGUAAAUAUACUAAAAAUAUAAUAUAAUUUGAUAUAACAUAUAAAUAUAUAAAUUAUAAUCAUUUAGUAACCCUAAAUCCUAAUAUACUACUUUGCUUUAGGCCAUAAUUAGCAUUAACAUAAAGGCUGUUGCGGCGCUCAGUCAUCCUCAGUUCGUUAGUUCGCUUGAAAUUUCAACAUCGCUAACAACAGUCGGCAGUCGUUUGGUUAGUUCGUCACAGCCGUCGAGUGCAGCCACUGCAGUCACGCCAAUGCCGGCGACUCAACGAGUUUGAUAUUUAUGGUUAUUUCAUGUGUGCUGAAUUGAUUAUAUUUGGGAAUGAAAAAUAGGUUUGAAAAAAAAAAUUAUUUUUCAAGAAAAAUCAUCAAUUUAAAUGCUCACUACUUUAAUCUUUAAAAUCGAAAUAAAAAUCUGAAAUAACCAAACAAAAUUUAUAAAAAUCGAACCAAACCGAAAUAAUUUUGGUUUGGUUAUGGUUGUUAUUUUCGUGAACCCAAAAAUCUAAAAACCGAACUCAUAUUCAACAAUCAAACCGAACAAACUGAACGCCCACCCCUACAUGAGAAUCAUGUUCCUACAUCCUUGACGUUCCAAAACCCUAGGUUAUGUUUAGUCGGCAUCAUGUCAAAUUCUCAAGUUAUGCUUUAAACUGUACAAACAUGAUAUUUUUCCAAGGUUAACUCAUUCCCAUGUUUACAUUCAUGAAAUUUAUCAGACUAUUGAAAUAUCUCAUGUUUUGGGUCUUUGAAUUAUGAUUUUACGUCACUAUUUUAAGUGUUGUUAUUGACGUUUUGUAAUCAUUUAGUGUUGGCGGGUUAUGAACACCCUAUUCCUACAUGUUACGCACGUUUUAGACCUUUCAAGUAAUGAGUCGGUCAACUCAUGAUUUUUAUUGUUAAACACAGUUCUUUAUGAUCAUGUUGAGCACUAUCAGUUUACAUGUUCAUAAUUACUUCAGAAUCUGUAUGCACUAUUAUUUUCAAAACACCAUGACCUGAGCUUAUCAGUUAUCAGUGCAUGCACCAGUUAGUAUUUUAGUGCCUUUCAGCUAGGAGUAGGAUUUAGCAUCGAGUGGGAAGUAUGGGUUCAGCGCAUCCUCCUUUCCCAGAAACUACAUGCCAUCGUAGGUUUAGGGGCCUCGCCAGAGAGUGUUUUCUCUUGCCCAAUAUGGGCUCAGUUUAGUGAUCACUCCAGUUCAGGUUCUACUCCGAUGGCAAGGAUAGAAAAGCCCUCCUCAAUGUGAGUCAAACGUUGGACUCCAUGAUAGCUCACAUGGUUUAUGUCGGCUGUAUGAUAGCUCCCAUAGUUUUAUUCAGUAUUUAGUUUAUCUCAUUUCAGGUUUGCUUGACCAAGUAAUCAGAUUUCAGUAAUUAUUCAGUCAGUUUUACAAAUUAUUCAUGUUAUUCAGGUCAUGUCAGUACAUGAUGCUAUACUUGGUCUUACAUUCUCAGUUUUACAUGUUCAUGUUUUCAUGCUCAGUAUCCAUACAUGAUCCUCAGUUCAGUUUUAUGGCAUGUCCAACUUUACAUGAGAUUUACAUACAAUAUUCAUGUUUCUACCGCUUCCCAGCUUAUAGAAUUGUUUUCAGCAUAUGAACUUAUAAAUUUCACUAUGACUUACCGUUUUCAUAUACAACCAUAUUUUAAAUGCAUGUUUCAGUAAAUAGCUUAUAUCCUCAGUUGUAUAGCAUAUUUUAAAUAUUUUUAUGAUUUAGCGCAUGCCUCGAUAUACUCAGUACAUUCCAACGUACUGACCACAUAUAUAUAUUUUGUGGCUCUAUUCCUUCAUAAUGUAGGUACCAGAUAUAGUCCACACACCAAGGUCAAACAGUUCUCAACAUUCAGCCAGCAGGUGAUGAGUUCCCUAGUUUUGGGAACUCCAGUCCAUUGCAGUUCAUGUGUUGUAUUUUGAUUAUCCAUAUGUAUUGAUUAGUGGUAGUUGGAGGCAUAUCUCAUCUAUCUAUAAUCAGUAUAGUAGAGGCUUCAUAAAUAGUCAGUCAGAGUUAUGAUAUGCAAUUCAAGUUCUUUCUUUAAAUUUAUCAUGUUGUAAACUUUAUCAGUAUUACAUUCAUUCAGAUUUUCUCGUGAUUAUGCUUCCGCUCAGC
Molecule: long non-coding RNA, 50639 nt
Filed under: Capsicum annuum
Lineage: Eukaryota; Viridiplantae; Streptophyta; Magnoliopsida; Solanales; Solanaceae
Description: long non-coding RNA (CANN_LNC013763)
Source: RNAcentral